Molecule: long non-coding RNA, 62158 nt
Filed under: Triticum aestivum (bread wheat)
Lineage: Eukaryota; Viridiplantae; Streptophyta; Magnoliopsida; Poales; Poaceae
Description: long non-coding RNA (TAES_LNC003862)
Rfam family: MIR1120/MIR1122 microRNA precursor family (bases 15090-15224)
Source: RNAcentral
AAAUUACAAACCUACCCCUAUCGAAACCUAUAGAAAUCUAGCAGAUAGGCUUUGCGUGGCAGGGAUAGGCAGUAGUAAUUUCCAUCUCGCAGAUUUUGGUUUCGGGCGGUUACUGUGACUUUCCCCGCUUCGUUCAAAUUUUGCAGAGUGCACGUUUACCGUGCCAACUCAAUUCGAAUCCUGUUUGUAUUCUAAUUUUUUUUGGGCGGGAUCCAUUUUCAAUUGGAAUUACAUUCUAUAUACAUCAUUUUUUUAUAUAUACUUUCAAAAGCACAACACCAUUUAUACAUAAAUAUGGUUUACAAAUGGCAUGAUCUCAGAUUCAUAAGGUUGUAUCCAUCAAUUUGGAUUUUCAAAUGUUUGAAACCACUUUAUGUUGAAAUCCAAUGUAUGCAUUCCUCGCUAACUGUCUCCGAUUAAUGUGUGUUUCAUGCGGGUUUUUUUACUUCUCAAACAUGUAUAAUGUGUUUCACACACGCAACAUAUAGUGUAAUCCCGUUUAGACAUUAAUUGCAUAUAAACCAUGCAUUGUUUGUAAUUAAAUAAUCUAAGGAUCACCAAUAUUGAUAAACUAUAUAACAUUACACUUGUGCCCAAAUUCAAAUGAAUAUGCAUGUUUGAUUCACCAAUUUGCGUUAUGAUAUUAUCGAUGCCGUGAUCUCCAGUUUAAAUAUUUGAAUCCCCUUUAAUCCAGAUAUUCAUCUCAUAUAGCUAUCACUCAUGCUUAUAUAGGACUAUCUCUCUGGACCUAUACGCGUUCAUCGUCUCUCAGGUAUCUCUCAUGCUACCUGUAUGUCAACAAUGAUCUUUUAUCUUCAUAACACACUAACAGUACUCUCUCCCUAGACCUUCAUCACUCUAUCUCUCUCUAAGUAUAUCUCGCUCCCUGCUAUGUGUCUCUAAAUAUGAUUCUCCAUGUGGAAUCUCUUUCUCUCACACAAACACAAAAAUUUGUCUCCCGGGGUCUCAUUUCUCUGUACUAUCCCCAUGUGUGCCACUCACACACCCCUCAUACAGAGAUGUCUUUCGCUACUUAGAUAUGAGAACCUAUGACUCUUCCUCUUAAAUAUCUCUUUAUCACACACAAACACAAACUCUGUCUCCCAGGGUCUCAUAUUUCUCCAUUGAUCUCUUGUAUGUCGCUCACACACUCUCUCUCCCUAGAGAUAUCUUGCGUUCCCUCAUAUGUCUCUCUAGCUAUCACUCUCGUUGUGAAAUAUCUUUCUCUCUCGCAGACACAAAACUCCGUCUCUCGGGAUCUCAUUUCUCUCUGCUAUCUGUUUGUAUGUGACUAACAUGCACCCUCUCUCUAUCUCUCUCACACCCACACACAUAUGUCAGCCUUCUGAUCCACUCGACUCCUAUCUCUAACACACACUAGCUAGCAUCUUUAUCUUUCUAUUUAUCUGUUUCUCCAUCAACCUUCUUUCUCGCCCUCACUCUUGAUUCCUAUCACGCACACUGCAUAUGUUUCUCUCUACGUGUAGUCAAGUUCCCUCUCACACACAUAUAUAACUUCAUCGUCUGAACCACCCGGCGGUCAUCUCCAACACAGAAAUUAGCGGAUGUCCCUCUAUCUAGCAUCUCCAUCUCUGUAUCUAUCUGUAGUUUCUCGGACAACAUUUUUUUCUCGCACGGAGUCUUGCUUCCUAUCACCCACACUAUAUAUGUCUCUCCAUACAUAUGCAUUUAUAGGUUGAUCUCUUUUGCACAAUCGUUGUGUCUCACUCCCUCUGCUCGCCAUAGAUGCAUGCUCCAGCCCACGCCACUAUCUCUUAAAGACAAAAACACAUGCUCAAUUGUCGGGCCUUCUUCCCUGCAUGCUCACAUGCACGCAUGUUAUCAUACCGAUCCGUCUCUCCCAUGUUGUUGAUCUUAUGACUUAUGUAUUCUUUCUUUUGUCUCGAUCAUGCGCGCGCGCACACACACAUCCCACGUAUACAUGUAUACCUCUCACACAUGCACGUUCAAGGUCUCUAUGCCUCCAUAUGUAGUUAAUUACCUUCAAUCCUAAUGCCACAUCGAAUCGUUCUCCUCUUGUGUGCACAAAACUUCCGCCUGGAUGGGUAAAACACACACUCAUACUUAACAAUCUCCUUCUACCCCCCUCCUCUCACUCUUCCCCUAUAUCCCCGAAACCAAUAAUACCAUCCCUUUGUUUAAUUCCCGCCUACAUGCACCAUCGAUAUAUAGUAUUCUUCCUUGGUGUCUCUCGAACAAACACGUUCUCUCGAUGUCGACUCCUCUCACACGCACACACCGUCUGUUCCCUCUCUACAGACAUUUUCUCUCUCGCACCCCAUCAUUGGUGGCCUCUGCCAUACACAUAACCUCUCUAUGAUGAAGCCAUGCACACUUAAAUUACAUCCGCCAUAGGGGACCCCGCGACACACACACACACACACCCCACACACACACACAUUAAGACUCCAUCUCUCUCUCUCUCUCACACACAGACACACGCACGCACGCACGCACACCCCCACCCCCACACACUAAGACUCCAUCUCUCUCUNNNNNNNNNNNNNNNNNNNNNNNNNNNNNNNNNNNNNNNNNNNNNNNNNNNNNNNNNNNNNNNNNNNNNNNNNNNNNNNNNNNNNNNNNNNNNNNNNNNNNNNNNNNNNNNNNNNNNNNNNNNNNNNNNNNNNNNNNNNNNNNNNNNNNNNNNNNNNNNNNNNNNNNNNNNNNNNNNNNNNNNNNNNNNNNNNNNNNNNNNNNNNNNNNNNNNNNNNNNNNNNNNNNNNNNNNNNNNNNNNNNNNNNNNNNNNNNNNNNNNNNNNNNNNNNNNNNNNNNNNNNNNNNNNNUCUCUCUCUCUCUCUCUCUCACACACACACGCACCACACACUCACUAAGACUCCAUCUCACACACACAUGCUCUAGGCGGAGCAUUUGUUCCUACCACCCUUCAUCCAACCUUACCCGUAUGAUAAACAAUCACCUUAAUUUACUUGCAUAACAUGGAAAAAUUCCACUUUACUUUAGUAGUCAGAACUUAUCAUCUGUACCCUUAUAAAAAAACAAGUUGGCGAUGAUGGUGUGCCUGCCAUCUUGUAAUACAGACCAUAUGAUCUAUAUCUGACGGAUAGAAAGCAAACUAUGAUAAUUUUACAAAAGAUACCCACACCUCUCUCCACAUCCUUAUCCCCCAUAACCUCAUCGCUCAACAAUUAAAAAAGGAAGUCUUUGGAACAAUCUAGCAUGGUGGCCGCUGCCGCCCGCCGGCGCCGUCCAUCCCCAUGCCUCCACCCACUCCGACCACCAGUCACCACCACGCUCCACUCCUCCUCGCCUUAUCUCUCAUUUUUCAUUUUUUUGAUGACAUUCUCGAGAUACUAGUUUUUCGAUAAAAUUCUCGAGAUAUCAUUAGUUUUUACACAUGGGAUUACUCCUGCAUGGGUCAAUCACAACAGGUGCUUUGUAAAAAAUGCAUAUUGAUGUUCCGUGCAAUGCACGAGAAUCUUCCUUGUAAUUAUAUAACAAAAAUCACGAGCAGGAAGUGACAUUUUUUUGACAGACCACGUUAACAUGGCCACGUAAAUCACUAGCUAAAGUAAAUACUAUUAUACUUAUAUCCCGAUGCAAAAGUUGAGUACAUGUCCGAAGAGUAGAGUCGCACACACGCACUCUGUCUCUCAGAAUCUCUCUCACACACACACACCAGUUACGUGACGCCCACUUAAGCAGACACGUAUGUUACAAUUUGUGCACCUGCGGGUACACGUGAUGCUGCCCAUUUAUUUAAGACGGAAGGCAAACCCAAACAGUAGCUGCAUUCAUUCCCCUCCCGCCGCCUCUUCUCUGGUCACCGUCGCCUGGUAGCCAUGGCCCGGUCGAAGGUAACAACAUACGACAUACUCCCGCCGGAGCGGCGCUUUAAUAUGGAAAUUUUAGUGGUCAUGCAUGCAUCUUUUUGUGCUAUCACUCCUAUAUAAGGGUUGACCGGUCGCUUCCCGCGGACGUGCGCGGGCGGUGGAAGAGGAAGGAGAAGGGAAGCGGGCUGUGGAGUAAGGUUUUUUACCACAAUUUCUUAGGAAACUGAGUGCAAUAAUUGAGUAGUUUUGCAAACUACCAGUACUACACCUGAAACGGUUCAAAACCUAUACUCCCUUGCCAGCGCACGCUUCCCGCAUGAAACAGUCAGCGUCGCCCUGGAGCGUCAGUGCCGCUUUAAUGCCAGGCCAGAGCGGAGGCGACCUCUCACUGGCGCCGGCUUUGAAGUGGCGCGACGGCUGAGAGAGCGCCGCUUCCCGGUGCACGCGACUGCUCCGCGUCGAGACUGGCCAUAGGCCCUAUUUGGAUCCAUGGGCUAGAGUUAGUUUGAGCUAGUUGGGGCUCAAAUAGCCCUAAAGUAUCCAAGCAUGAGGGUUUAAAUUGGAGCAAGUUGCACCGAACCCACCAAAAAAAACUAUCCCACCCAAGAGGUGCUAACUGGAGAUAGUUCUCACUGGGACCACUGAAAAAUCACUUCUCUCUCUCCAUCAAGUGCAUUUAUUGUCAAUCUAACCCUGUCACCCAAACACCUCUUUGGCUACAGUUAGUACAGGGUUAGUCAUGAGUUAGUCUAACCUCUAGCUAAGUUAGAGUAUCAAACAGGAGCAGUAUAGGACAUGCAAGUUGCUCAAAGCAUACAGUCAAAUUCGUACGUGAAAGGAUUUUUUUCUUUUUGAAAACGGAACGUGAAAUGAUUUUUUUUAGAAUGCUCUUGGCAUGUCGCUGACAUGUGAUGAGUUAACCGACCUCAAUAGACGGAAAAAACGCCAGCCCGCCGCACUUUGAUAGAGACGAGGAGGGAGAAGCAAUACAGGCUGCUGGAUUAUUAGAGAUAGGUGUCGCACAGAAGCCAAGAAAUAGCCAUGUACUAGUAUGAUGUAACUACACUGGGCUGCCGUGUUUCGUACUCUUCCAGUCCACUGUGGAGAUGAUUGGUUGAUUUUAUAUCGUUGAAUAAUAUUAAAUAUUAUGAGUGCAGACGCUCCACCACACGAGGUUCCUUGCUCCUUCUCGGUCAUCGGGAAUCUAUGUUCUUCCACUCUAUUUUUUUACGUGAGCUUUGUUCAUCCUUUUGCCAACAUGCGGGACAUCUAGCAUCAAGGUGCACGUGUUAUGCAAGGAUCGUUCCAUCUAUAUGAAGAACACGUGGGACUGGAACUACGAGAUGGACAUGUACACAGGAGUGGACGUACGAACCGGAGUAAUGUAGCGCAGUAAGUGAAGUAGAAAGGCACAAAUGGUAUGAACAUGCGUGGCAUAUAGGGUGUGUUUGGUUGCGUUCUCGUCUCAGCAUAGUUGUUCCCUCUUCUUGCAUGCUCAACUCAACACCCCUCUUCAUGCAUGCUCUCUUCAUGCAUGCUUCUAGUGUAUUUGUGCUAAACUAGUGUGGACUCAUGCACCCUUCAUACACUCUACCAAACACCCAAAAGUAGGUCGAGAAGGGAACUCUUGGGCGGCAUUUGUCUCUUACUACAUACUACCACUAAAUGUUGUACGUACAAUGCACGGUGAUGUUAUGGAGUACGUGCCUAAGUACUCUACUACUACUAUAUUAGUUGGAGGCACAUAUUAACUUUUAUAUUUGUUUACUUGUAUGCCCCGAGACCUUCCAACUAGACGUGUCUUUCUCUCCAGGUCGCACUUUGUAUCAUUCAUACCACUAAGUACUACUAUGUGUGGUCUCCGACCCAGAAGUGGAAGACGUGGAGACGCUCUACCACGCUGUUUUUCUUUUACGCUGGGCUCUACCACGUUGUUCAUGUCCCACUCUUUUCGCUGUCGUGUGGGGCAUCCAGCACGUGCCGUGUUUGGCACUCUUCGUCGUAAGAGUUGAAACGCUAGCAUUCAUCAGAAAUAAAAAAUAAUUAUAAAUCAGAGUGAUACUAUUUUUUUGAGAACCAAUCAGCAGUGAUACUAUACCACACGGUUUCCUUGCUCCUCGAUAUCGGAAAGAAUACUUUCGUUCGCCAACAUGUGGGAUGUCGACCAUCCUGGUCCACUUGCCAUGCACGCAGAACUCCAAGGGAGAGUCACCCCGGUCGUUGCACCAUAGUAACAAUGACUAAUGAGCCGUCAAAUCACAGGCCCACUUCCCACUUUGAAGUUGCUCGGACGAAGGAACCAUCAUGACUUCAUUGAAUUCCGCUUCUUGAUGAAAACUACUGUACCAGCAGUACUGCUAGCUACAGUAGUUACUCCAAUAGAGGCCUGCUUUCGUUCAUAGGAUAUGAAUUUUAUAGGAAUAUGAAAAUCAUAGGAAGUGAGAUGACAUGCAUCUCAAUUCCUAUAGAGAAAGAGAUUCCAUUUGAUGCAUAGGAUAUGAUUUUUUCCAUUUAGUCUAGGCUAAUGUACUGGUAAUUUGCUCUAAAAACUACAGUAGUAACUAGUAGUACUGGUACAUGCUCGUACUCAGACAUAGACACACACACACACUAACUACUAGUACUACUACUUCUCACAUGCUGGCCAGACGCUGUCGUUCUGCUUCACGGCUUUGUCAGCGACACCCCAUCAUGCUUGGAUCUCCGCCGACCUCUCCGCAGCAGCGCGUGCGUCCUUUUCUUUCUUGCGGUGGUGGGCCUCUCUUUUCUUGAAUGCUUUCUGACUUUUCCGCUCCCUCUAUGCGGCUUUGGCCGCCUCUUGCUCUACCGCCCAUUCGGCCUUCGCAUCUUCAAAUUCCUCCCACAUAGUUGUGAGGUCGCGAGCGGCGAUUAACUCGGCACGGCGGGAUGCCAUCGCUUCCCUACCAUUUUGUGUGCGGUCGUGGGCGGCCAGGAACUCGGCGCGGCGGGAUGCCAUCGCUGCCUUACUGGUUAGUGUGCAGCGCGGUGGCAUGAACGACGCUUGGUGAGAGCUCUGGGGUGGAGUGGCCAGACAACCAUAUAGUGCAUUGGUUUCUCAAGAGCUCAAGGAUAGAAGAUGAAGGAAAUUUGGAUUCCUCUUCAAUCCUGGUCAUUUAUUACAGAGUAAAAUGCAUUGGCGGUCAUCGAACUUGUCUUGAUAGCUCACUUUGAUCAUUGUAUACGAGAUAUGGUGAUAACACGGUCACUGGCUCAGCGUAUAGCUCCGUAUUUGUCUGGUUGACCAGUUAAACAGUCCGCAUGCGCCUCAUCAGCUCGUGUUCCUUAUUUAUCUACGCAUGCCUACCUGUCAAUGGAGAAAGAAAUACUGUGAAAACCAAAAUUAUGCGUAUGUGGGGAAUCAAACCACGGACUCGUCGCUGCAACGCACCCUCGUCAGCCAAAUGAAAAUGAAAUACUUCGCGUCAGACACUCAUGCUCACGCUGUCAAAGCAUGCUAAUGCAUGCACGUCGCCCUCUAAAUCAAAGUCCUGCUCAUGGCACAAUGCAAACGGCAAGCCCAUCACCUGCACGCACCGGCGGUGCCUGGCAUUACUAUUUAGACGUUUGAUGGAGGCCUACGUGAACGCUGAGCAUGUAUUCACCUGACUCAACACCAACGGUCAUACUCGGAGCGCCUUGCUCAUGUAUAUCGUCCAUCACAACGACAAUCUAUAAAAUAGCCUAGCUAGAGAGGGUACUAUGGUAGUAUGGUACGAAGUAUGUACUAUCGUGAGCGACCGAUCUUAGUGCCACCGCACACCGAAACCCCUUCCAUCGCUAGCGCGCGCUUCCCGCCUGAAACGGUCACCGUCUCUCCAGAACGUCAAUGCCGCAUUCACCGGACUUAACUGCAGGUGCAAUUGGUGUGUCACUGACAUGCGGGCCAGAUGCCCGUUGGGCCCACUUGUCAGUAACCCAAUGCAUCUGUAGUUAAGUCACUGAAGCAGCGUCCGCAUUCACGCCCGACGAACCUACUCCGGUGCCAGUUGUCCAUCCGUCUAUCGUGGCUCAUUAUCAUUCGCCCGCUAUAUUAACUUGAGCCCCAGCUCCCAGCCAUAGCCAAAGACCCACACUUAUUCUCCUGCGGGCCCUUCCUUAUGUCCGCACCACUCCAACCAUGGCCUCCUGGCGCUCUGAAGCUCUCUUGGACGUACUGUCGCAGAAGUAGACGAGGGACAUCGGCGGCUCCACUCCGGGUGCGCUCCAAAGCUCUCUUCGACGUACUGUCACAGGGGCAAACGAAGGAGAUGGCCGGCACCCCCCGGCCACCCUCCGCCACCACGACCACGAAGCCGGCGCGCGUGCGCGGGCGCAGCCGGCAGCGAGGAAGAGUAGUACACGGUAGGUCGCCGCCACUCUGGUCCCAGGAAGGCCACCGCUACUCCACUCAGUCGACGCCAAGCUUGGUGGGGUAAACAUCGACGGGCGAUUAGCCGCUUGACGGUGACGUGGAGGCGGAAAUCUUCAGAACUUUGUGCUCCGAAGGAGGAGGUUAUCGAGGUGGAUGAGGAGGAGUCAAAGGCAAUGGCCGGCUUUCUCGGGUUCAUGGCCUGACAUGGUGGUCGUGCACCGGCGAUCGUUUAGAUUAGGUUUUAGUACGGUUUGUGCGAAAUAUGUAAUGAAUUUCGUCCAGUUUGUAGGAAAAGUUUUUGAAAUGUAAUGAAUUUCAUCCGGUUAAUUUGAAAUUUGCUUUGUUUGCACGAAUUUCGUCCGGUUAGUUCAUAUAGUUGUCGAAAGGUACGCGUGCAGCAUCGGAUGGCAUCCAUCAGUGUCCUCGGACAGAUGCUGGUGUAAAUUUGUGGGCCAGCGCUGGAGAUGCCCUAACUAUCAUGCUAUAAUCGCUAACAGUCCUCCAUUAUUUGGUAGAGAACAGUUAUCCCUCGAUCAAAAUCAGAUCCGAGGUGUUUCGCACUCCUCCCACGUAAGAGUGUAAACUCUUUCUUACAUAAAAAUGGAGCAAGUCAUAUCACUCGAACUAGCCGACCUAACAAGGGGGAAAGCACCACCCUCGUCAUUUUGUUCUGGAUUUCUAUCGAUCGCUCGCGCGAAAAUGUUACGCUUCGCAAGUUCUAUAGGAAAAGGCUGCACACUUAUGAGUCGUACGUGUCGCACCCCCGAUAGUCUGGCUCGCACGCCACUCACCAGAGGAGACACACGUUGUCUUGCAAUUUCACUGACAUGUGGGACUGUAAUUGAAUAAACCGUCGAUAGGCGAAAUCUAUUCGCUCGACGGGCAUCGGCUGAGAUGAGAGAAACGGGGGAGGGAGAAGAGAUCGCCCGCCCGCCGCGCACGGACUCCAAGAAAUAUAUGGUGAUAAUGUGAGGUGGGCCAUGCUGGAGUCCGGACCGCUUCGGGAGCCCGCUCUGAUCGCCCUGGCCCCUCAAGACGCCAGCUGCCCGCUGCAUGCAUAGCAAGUAGUCCCCGCUUAUGUGGAGGAGAGAGAGGCAUUGGCAAAGUCAAGAGUAACAGUGGAGACAAUAGCUUUCAUAAAAAAAACAAUGAAUACUCGUUGCUCGUCCUCUAUAUCGGAAAGAAUACUUUCAUUCGCCGACAUUUGGGACACCGACCAUCCCGGUCCACCUGCCAUGCACAAAUUAUCUUGGUCUACCCUGGUCGUAUCGCAGGCCCAACCUUUCCCACUGUAAGUUGUUCCGACGAAGGAACCAUCAUGACUUCGUUGAACUCCACUUCUUCAAGAAAACUUGCUGUAUCAGCAAUACUGCUACCACACGGGAAGACUGGAUGACACUGUACCAUGUCAUAUCACUGAAACCCACUAGGCCAAACUAGCCCGCCUAGGUCAUCUAUUUUGGAACGGAGGGAGUACGUCUCUGCACUGCUAUGAUUUUGUGUCGUACGUCUCUGUACUUUUGCUACGAUUUUCCUACCCUAUGAACCAAAUGAGGCAUGAAUGUAUCCGUGUCGACUAUUGUCUAAUCGAUCGCUAAGCCUACAAUUUUAGGAGCUAGGGCUAUUGGUCGAUCGACGACGGAUAAGUAUAAGCGUACCACGAGCUCAUCAGCCCCAACGAUUCUCUUCGGUGAGUGUUUUGCAAGUACUAUAUCUCGCACAGUAGCUAGCCUACUAGCACCAAGAAUCAUCAAACAAGCCCUGCUGAUAUAAUAAACAGUUCAAACUUACAUCUAAGCAUGCCAUAUAUUACAUCAAAAGCCGGCGAGGAUACAUCCGUUUCCAUGGUUCGCAUGAUUCACUAUCAAAAAAAAGUAGCAAGUACUGCCCACACAAGAUAGUGCACUAGCCCUAAGAUGGUUUGAUAACACGCAUUGUUCUGGUAAUUAAACAUAGGGCAAUGCAAACUACCCUGAAGGAUUAGCGCGACCAACUAUUUCUUGUCAUCGAUCUCUCGGGUAAUGACCACAACACGGACAACGACAUUGGAAUCGAUCUCUGGGGUGAUGUCCACAGGACUGACCGCGACAUCAGAAUCAAUCUCUGGGGCGAUGUCCACAGGAUGGACAGCGGCAUCGGAAUCGAUCUCCGGGGCGAUGCUAACAGGACGGGCCGCGACAUCGGAAUCAUCAAGGACGUCCACCGGCACCUGCACAACCCUAACAUAUUAGCAAGCACAUUGCAAAUAAUCAAAAACCACAACUAUGGUAAUAAGCCAUUAUUUUUGACCUUGUGCAGCUCACCGGGGGAUCUCAUCCCUCCGGGAGCUAUCUCCUCGUCCUUGAUAGGGGCCAUCACCUUGCCAGGGGAAUACUGCUUCUCAACAGCGACUAUCUCCUCAAACUCGACCUUGAGCCUCGCAUAGGUGGCCAUCAGAGUUCCUGGGGCAGGGACGGCGGGGCCCAUGAUGUUCUUCCAACUUUCUUUGAGGAGUUCGUCCGCCAACGUCGUCAACUCUUUGACCAGUGCUUGUUUCUUGGAGUUCUUCAUCUCCAUGGGUUGGCCCGCCAACAUGGUCAACUCAUUGAUCGGUGCUCGCUUCCUGGAGAUCGCUGUCUCCAGUGGGUUGUCCGCCAGCAACUCUUUGCCUAGUGCUCCAGGAUCCAUCAAUGAACUGGCAAACAAAAAGCAAUCAAAAGGAAACCACAAUCGCAAUGAAAACGGGAAAAGAAUAGGAUGUCAGAAUCGGUCGGUGCUUCACAAAAAGAAGAUUCUUGGAAUGAAAAUAUAGCAGCAUAACUGAUUCUCCCACCUUUCCUUCGUUGGUACAGAAGAAAAAUGGCGGAAGUGAGUAGCAUGGAGUGAGUUUUUCUUCAAGAAAGGGAAGAAAGGGCUUGAACGAGUGUUCCAGUCAAAUGAUGGUUGCUUCGUCCAGUCCAACUUGGAGGCCACCUUACCACUGCUGGUAAAGGUGUGGGUUUUGUCAUAUGACGGGUCAUGAUGGCCACAUCGGGGUGACGGGUGAGUCUCGACUGUAGUACCUCGCUGUGAUUUGCUGGAUGGCACGCGGGCCCGGAUGCUUUGAAAUGUCCCGCAUGUAGAUAGAGCAGCUAGUCAUAUAGGAGUGCUCAAUACUUGUGCACCGUGACCAAGGCGGAGAGGAAAAUGAGAGAACUACAUAAUUAAUGCAUGAGUUUAAUUAGGGUAGUUUUGUAAAGUACGAGAUACAUUCCUCCAAUCGCAAAAUGCCUUGGUUCAUGAGAUUUGAGAUUUGAGCCCUAUAAACCAGAAGGGAGGGAGUACUGCAUGCGGUGUAGUCUAGUCACUUGUUGAAAUCUCUAGAAAGGCAAAUACUACUUUCCGGUUUGUAGGGCUAUACUACUCCCUCCGUCUAGGUGUGUAAGACUAGCCACAAUGGUGAGUAACAUACACUAGUAACAUACACAUAUCCCUAGACUUUGUUACUGCUUCAUAGUGCAUACAUAAGUGUGGUAACAUGCAAAGCUUCAUUUAUUAGGUUAUAGACUCAUAUUGCAUUGGGGCAUGUGAUGUUACAGUAAUUAGCUAAGUUACUAUAACUACCUCUCUCCUAAUUAACUCAUUGCCACAUAAGCAAAUUUGCUGAGUUGGACUCGAUGUUACUGCUGAAGUUACUCCCACUGUGGCUAGUCUAAGUCAUCUUACGAAAACCAAAGUCCCAAAACACUUAGGCGCGGUGCAUUAACUUCUACCUUGUUUCUUGUUUCUUGACAUAUCAACCAAUAAGAGAUGAGAGGUGUGCAUGCUUUUAAUGACUUGCAGUGGCUAGUUCAUUGCAUGCAAUGCUAUUAAUUAGCAAAUAAACAUUGGUGACCCUAGAAGGAAAUGGUGCUAAGCGCGUGGACCUAUGCAGAAUGAGUAUCAACCGAUGGAUGAUGGAGUUUAAUUGUUAAACAAUUCAAUGAGGGAAGCUUAGCUACAAAUUCAACGACUUACUCACCUAGACGGAGGGAGAAGCAAGUACUAGCACUACAAUAGUGGGCUCAAAUAGCAAUUUUGUCUCAUCCAAGGCACCGCACCAUGCGAGCGUUCGCAACUGCCACGUUCGGGUUGCGCUUGGCUCUUUGCCUCUUCGAGAAGACGAACAAUGAUGUUACUCCUACUUCUACAGUAUCGAAUCCACUACUGCAUGUUCGUCCACCUCGUGCGGGAGGGAUAGCGUGUAGCGAAAGCUUCUACUUACUGCUCCUGCCUUUGCGUCUUUGACAGGUGGGCCCAACAGGUGGUUGGCCCUCCUGUCAUGCAGCUAAAGGCAGGUGCAGUUAAGGCACUGGAGCUCUGUCCGCGAGGGAGAGGGCGUUGUAGUAAUCAAAUUUCUCGGUCUUGUACGAGUUGACGCGACACAUUAAAGGACUGCACUCAAUAUAAGUCUUUUUACACAUUUCAAAUGGACUACAACAAACAGAUGUAGACUUAUUCUGCUUCGUAUGUAGUCACUUGUUGCAAUCUCUAAAAAGACUUAUAUUUGGAAACGGAGGGAGUACAACGCAUGCAUGCAUGCCGUGAUUUUCACUUUGAUACUUGCAUGUGUUCAUUUGAUGCACCUUGCCAAAUUUUGACUAUAAUUUAACUAACCAAAUUUUCAUGCAUGUCACAAAAAAUUACGGGGCUGUUUGGAUUGUGACUAUGUUUGUCUUAUGUUGCCACAUUAUUUUUCCCACACUUGCCACACUUGCCUCACUUGAGUUGCUCAAAUUGUUAGACACACUUUGGCUUGCCUAAGGGAAUCUUGCCACAAUUUUUGUGUCUAUGACAUGUGGGGUUCACUGCUAAUAAAAAAAUUCUUGUCUUAGGUGUGGCUAAUAAAAAAGACUUAUAUUUAGGAAUGGAGGGAGUAGAAAAUAUAAAUAAUAAUUCAUGUUGGGGCAACCCACGUUUUCGCUAAUUUUAGCCAUGGGCUUGUUCACAAUUUUUACGAGGGGGUGGUUGUUCAUUUAAUGGAGGGACUUGUAGUAUACCAGACUUGAACAAUACAAAGUGUGACUUGGCACACCGUAACACCACUUGGAACAAGCGGGUAGCUAUCUCAAAAAACAAUCAACAACUAAAAAAAACCGCGACCUGGCAUGUAGUAGUACACAAUUUUAAACGAUUGUUUUGAUGGAGUGAAAAAGGAAAACUACGACACUACAUAUAUAUAGGCCGGAGCGUCUGCGCUUGCUUGCUACGGUUGCUCUAUUCACACACUCUCAUCCUCUCCAGAUCUAAACAAGAUAGGGGUAGUAACAUUGUCUUUCUCCCUUCAAAAAACACUGUCUUUCUAUCCUCACCGUUGGUUACAAAUCCGGACGUAUCCCCUCCGCUGGUGAAGGGGAGGAGGGGCAGCGUUUAGGCCGUCGUCGACAGUGAGGGAGGAGACCCACUGCCGGUCGCACCAUUAUCUCUGGCCGAGCGCCGGCGUGGGAGGUCCCCCGAUCCCUUCGUCAUUGCCUGUGGGCGGAUCCGGCCUCCCGCCGCCCACCUAUCCACAUCCCGACGACCUUCAGGUAUAUCUUCAUUCGAAACCGCCUUAGCUAUACUUCCCCAGCUCGCUACGUCGCUGCAUGUGCAUCAUUUUCUACCUCUCAGCCCCUCUCGAUCGGAUGGUCCAACAUCACCUACUAUUUUUUUCUUCUAUUGUUAGAGGUAAAGCUACUUCAUGGAGUCGAAUCUUGUACUCCCUCCGUCCGAAAAUACUUGUCAUUGAAAUGGAUGUAUCUAGAUGUAUUUUAGUUCUAGACACAUCCAUUUUGAUGACAAGUAAUUCCGGACGGAGGGAGUACUUGGUUCAAACAAGAAAUAAAGUGGGGGUGGGGGAAUUUAGUAUGUACAUCGGACUUGGUACAAGCAGGAAGGAAAGGGGAUGAAGGUAGUACAGACUAGUCAUCCAACCGGUAUCUUGGUUGAAAAGGGAAAUAUAGGGGUAACGUUGUACACAGUGGUAUGACCAGGACUAGAUUUGCUAUCCACACAUAGGAGUAGGUGGCUAGAGUGAACAAAAAUGGGACCAACCCAGAUAUGUUUCUUGGAUGUUUGUUUCUCGGGGGAACAAACUAUGAAUCACCACUUUAUGCCCCUGUUUACGUAUAUGGUGCUGGACUGCUAGUGCACCCACUGUCCCAUGCCCUUAUACCAAAUAUUUAGCUGUUCUUAAUCUAAUGUCCCUGGUAAAAAUGAAGCCAUGCCACUAUUAUAAGCCAUGACAAGUUUAGCCAAAUGUUUUUGCCUGUAAUUGUUUGAGACUCUAAUUGUUUCCUCUAUACCUUUUUGUGCAAAUAGGGAUAUCCAAUUCACCUGGUUGCUUGUGACCUUUUGGUGCACUGCACAAAACUCUUCUUAAAAGAAGUGACUUUUGUGCUGUUUAACUGGAAUGUCAGAAUGGAACAGUUGGUUCAUUUCGGUGGAACUGCACAAAGGGAGAUUUGUGUUCCAAUCCUCAUCAUCCAUAUUGGUGUCAUAACCUUCCUUUAGGUAAGAGUGAUAUUUAAUGCAUGUGUUCAUCUCUAUUUUCUGACUGCCAUGAGAAAAUAAUGCUAUUUUUUACUAGUACACUUGUACUCCCUCACUGACAAAACCAAUUCUGAACUAAAGGCCAAUCAUGUACUUGGUUUCACCAACUGGUGAGGAGAAAGAGAAACAGAGCAUGAAGAGGAGGAAGAAGAAGAAUAAACAGUGCCAAGGCGAUCUUGCUGAAGCCAGAGGCCUCAGUCGAGGCCAUUGUAGGGCUUUGGCAACGACUACCUUACAUGUGAGACGAUCCUCCAGGGAGCCCUUCCACUUCUGCUGUCUCACUUAAUUAAUUAGGAGUACUUAAGUACCACUAAUUUAUUGCUGCCUAAUUUCCUGUCGGAGUUAAACAAAUCUUUAGUAGGACCUUAUGCUGAAUCAUGUACUCCCUCCGUCCAGAAAUAUUUGUCAUCAAAAUGAAUAAAAGGGGAUGUAUUUAGAUGUAUUUUAGUUUUUGAUACAUCCUUUUUUGUCCAUUUUGAUGACAAGUAUUUUCGGGCGGAGGGAGUACGUGUGUAUGUUUGUCUAUGGAGGUGAAUCAUGUGGUGGAGUAGGGAUGGAAUAUUAUUAGUGUCAUGACAUAAUAGUGCUAUUGUUUUGCAUGUCAAUUUAUUGCCAUUGGUUCAAUGAGGCAAUGUUUUGCGUAUUGUCCAUCAUGAAUUUGAUGCUACUAUUUUAGUAAUAUGCUAAUGUCUUCCUAUCCUUUCUCACCACUGGCGGAGCUAUGUGUAUGGCUGGGGGGGGGCUAUGGCCCCCCAAGCCUGGGAUCUUCUGUGAAGAUUUUUUGUGUGAUGGCAUACAUUGGGAAAAAUAGGGAGUUUUGCCUCUUCAUAAACCCAUAUUUUGACAUUGGCCCCCCCAAUGAUCCUAUGCUAGAUCUGCCACUAUUUCUCACUAAGCUAAUGAAGGUUUCACCUUGUUCCUACUUGUGAAAACAGGGAUCAUGUUGUGCCAAUCAUACAUUUUAGUGGAACUACACAAGACAAUACAAUGAACUGUAUCCCAGCCAGUGCUUUAACUAUGCUGGAAGUUCUUGAUAAUCUUUUGAUAUAAUCUCAGCACUGGUAAACAAGAGUGAUUUCAACCAUACAUUUGAAGUGCACAAAAAUAUAUACUAUUGUGUGAUUCCAUGAGUGCUUUAUCAUCUCUUAUGGGACUACAUGAAUAAGCUUUUUUUCUCAGGUUGGUACGGGCCUAAGGCCUUUGAGGGAGUCCUGGAUUAGGGGGUGUGCGGAUGGCCGGACUCCCGGACUAUGAACGUACAAGAUUGAAGACUUCGUCCCGUGUCCGGUUAGGACUUUCCUUGGCGUGGAAGGCAAGCUUGGCAAUAUGAUAUGAAGAUCUCCUCCCAUUGUAACCGACUCUGUGUAACCCUAGCCCUCUCCGGUGUCUAUAUAAACCAGAGAGUUUUAGUCCGUAGGACGAACAACAAUCAUACCAUAGGCUAGCUUCUAGGGUUUAGCCUCUUUGAUCUCAUGGUAGAUCCACUCUUGUACUACCCAUAUCAUCAAUAUUAAUCAAGCAUGAGUAGGGUUUUACCUCCAUCGAGAGGGCCCGAACCUAGGUAAAAACAUCGUGUCCCUCGUCUCCUGUUACCAUACGCCUAGACGCACAGUUCGGGACCCCCUACCCAAGAUCUGCCGGUUUUGACACCGACAUUGCUGCUUUCAUUGAGAGUUCCUCUAUGUCGUCACCCUUGGGCCCGAUGGCUUCUUCGAUCAUCAACCACGACGCGGUCCAGGGUGAGACUUUUCUCCCCGGACAGAUCUUCGUAUUCGGCGGCUUCGCACUGCGGCCAAUUCGCUUGGCCAUCUGGAGCAGAUCGAAAGCUACGCCCCUGGCCAUCAGGUCAGGUUUGGAAGCCUAAACUACACGGCCGACAUCCGUGGGGACUUGAUCUUCAACGGAUUCGAGCCACAGCCGAGCACGCCGCACUUCACGAUGGGCAUGAUCUAGCUCUGCCCCCGGACAGCGCCCCGAGCGCCGCUCAGGUGCCCGCUCCGACCAUUAGCUCGGAGCCGACUUCGCCAGUCGGGGAUAGUCGGUUGGAUGCCGCCCCAGGAGCCGCAAUCUCUACGGCGAUAGAGCCGAAUACCAGCCUAGUCCUUUGCAAGGCCCGUGACUCCAAGGUACCGGACUCCGUUCCGGACUUCGAAUCUUCCGCACCCCUUCUGAUCGAACCCGAUUGGUAUCCGAUCAUGGAGUUCACCGCGGCGGACGUCUUUCAGCACUCGCCCUUUGGCGAUAUCCUGAAUUCACUAAAGUCUCUCUCUUUGUCAGGAGAGCCCUAGCCGGACUAUGGUCAGCAUGGUUGGGAUGCGGACGACAAAGAAAUUCGAAACCCACCCACCACCCACUUUGUAGCCACUGUCGACAAUCUAACCGACAUGCUCGACUUUGACUGCGAAGACAUCGACGGUAUGGACGCCGAUGAAGGAGACGACCAAGAACCAGCACCUAUAGGGCACUGGAAGGCAACCUCGUCAUAUGGCAUAUACAUGGUGGACACCCCCAAAGCAGGGGAUGGUGAUGAAAAAACGGAGGACAACCCCUCCAAGAAGCAACCCAAGCGCCGACGUCAGCGGCGUCGCUCUAAAUCCCGCCAAAGCAAGAACGGCGAAUCUGGCACCGGAGACAUCAACACCCCGGACAGUGCCGAAGACAACCCCCUCCAGCAGGAUUCAGCGCAGGAGGACGCAGGAGCCAACCCUCAUGAGUGAGCGGCAGACAAAGAGGUCGAGGACAACAAUUAUAUGCCUCCCUCCGAAGACGAGGCAAGCCUCGAUGACGACGAAUUCGUCGUGCCAGAGGAUCCUGUCGAACAAGAGCGUUUCAAACGUAGGCUUAUGGCCACGGCAAGAAGCCUCAAGAAAACAUAGCAGCAGCUUAGAGCUGACCAAGACUUGCUAGCCGACAGAUGGACUGAAGUCCUGGCGGCCGAAGAAUAUAAACUCGAACGACCCUCCAAGAGUUACCCAAAGCGCAGGCUGCUACCCCAACUAGAGGAGGAAGCAACUAAACCUACAUCACCAGCGUAUGAUGCGCCCGAUCGGCCACCCCGUGGCCGCGACAGAGAGGCUCUUCGACCCUCAAUCCAAGCCGCACCCCGGCGCCGCUCUAAGAAUACCAGAGCUCGGGGAAACGCAACAGACCUGCGAGACAUAUUGGAGGAUAAGGCAAAGCAAACAAGAUCGAUCUAUGGAUCGCGUGGGCACCCCACAUCACGUGACAAUAACCGUCACGCCGGAUAUGAUAAAUGCCUCUCAAGGCAAUUCUCCAAUCCGGGUGUUAAACGUCCGGACAACGUCAAGCGAGCCCGAAGUAACCUAUAACAAAACCGGCUGGCACGUUCCGAGCAAGCAUAGCAGUGCGUCCCCAACCCCAGCCCUCGCCAGAUGGCGAUAUCGGUACCACGCAUACAUAAUUACGGUUUGGAAAUACCAUGGGCAUAAGGGGAGGGCCACAACCACGACACGCCCAGAAUGCGGCUCAACUGCACUUAGGGGCUCCCUAUUCUGCCAUUUCUUUUUUUAUAUACUUUUAGGACCCAACUAUUCGGAAGGCCUGUCCGGCAAUACACUCGCCGAACACACGAUGCAACAGCCAGGGAGAGAACAAGCCGCGUCAAAUGUCCAGGUGGUCUCCAUAACGAGCUAAAUACCUGUUUUACUUGAAGCCCCGCAGCUUGCCCCUGGAGGGGGACAUGUCAAAUAAUCCCAUCUCUUGCUUAUCGCACUAUUUGUAUCGUUCUGCUUUCAUAGCAGCCCUUUUUUAAUAAACAAUACAUAGCUCUUAUCUAUUAUUGUAUUCAUCUAUUUUUUUACAAAUAUGUUCAGUCAUGAAAUUAUGCAACUGUACACUUUGGUAGGGCCAAUACACAGGGGCUUAAGCACCCCAUAACAUGGUGUGAGAAGACCGAACACUCUCAUGAAUGCGGCACCCCGAACUUAUAGCACUAUAUGCAUCGGCUCCGAAUCAUGUCUUGGGUCAAUAGUUGGGUUUGCCCGGCUCCCAUGUUUUGGUACCUUAUGUUCCGCAAUGUUGGCUAAGGUAGCGCUGGGAGAACUACUGCGAUUGUGCCCCAGUUGAGCUGGGUUAACACCUCAAUAGAGAAAGCUAAAACUGACCGUCAUGAUAGUGCGAGAGACCGAUCGCUGUUCACGAGGUUUUUCAAGUCCUUAAAGACUUAUGCCGCUUAGAGCGAGGAGCCGGACUUAUCCGGCCUAGGCGUGGAUAGCGCCCCGAACUCGGUCUUCCGAAUACUAGGGGCUUCGCCAAAAUUUAAAAUUAUAGAAUUCUAUGGCUAAGUGAGAGUGAUAAAGCAUUAUAAGUCCGAUGUCCUGGUUCGUUGUGCUGAGCGCCUCCCUAGAUGGACCCAAGAAUGGGAACAAGAGCGCUCAGGUUUAUCCCGAACACCCCAACACUCGUGACAUGGGGGUAGAAGCCGACGACUUGCAUCUCUCAGAUUUGAUAAACGGCGGCACAGAAGGUAAUAUUUUAAAUUAACAAGCGUUGCUUAACGCAUAUGAACAAAGUUUUUAGCGUACAGGAUAACAGAUGUGAGUCUACUCAAAAAUUACAUCUUUGGAGCAUUCACCCGCUAUAAGGCGGGCACCCUUCAGAACGCCCUUAUAAUACAUCUCAGGCGUGCGAUACUCCUUGCCCGGCAGUGGCGCGUCCGUCAAAAGCUUCUCAGCGUCCAGCUUUCCCUAGUGCACUUUAGCACGGGAAAGGGCCCGACGGGCACCUUCAAUACAGACAGAGCGCUUGAUGACUUCAAUCCAUGGACAAGCAUCCACCAGCCGCCGCACCAGACCAAAGUAACUCCCAGGCAUGGCUUCUCUAGGCCACAGCCGAACUAUGAGCCCCUUCAUGGCCUGUUCGGCAACCUUGUGGGGCUCGACCAGCUGCUUCAGCUGGUCGCUUAGGGGCACCGGAUGUCCGGCCUCAGCAUAUUGAGACCAGAACACCUUUUUCGUCGAGCUCCUCUCCUCGGCUCGGUAGAACGCGGAAGCAUCAGACACACUACGGGGUAGAUCGGUGAACGCUCCUGGAGAGCUCUGGAUUCGGGUAAGUAACAGAUAAUUUACUUUUAUAUUCUUGCGUUGCAUAAAUAAUUCCUUACCUGCCGCUACUUUCUUCAUCGCCUCGAUCUUCUGGAGGGCCUUCUGGGCUUCGGCCUUAGCGGUUUUGGCACUCUCAAGAGCCAAGGCGAGUUUAGACUCUCGAGUCUUUGAGUCACGCUCCAAACUCUCGUGUUUUUCCACGAGAGCCUGGAGCUCUUGAAGCACCUCCGCCAACCGCGCCUCCUGCUUCUCUCGCUCGGUGUGCUCCAAGGCCGCAUUGUUUUCGUCCUGGGACACCGCUUCCUUGAGGGUCACCGGCCCCUGCAACAUUUACGUUGGUCCUGUCAUUAUUUGCAACCAAGUAUUUCUAUAUACAUUUACAUGCGUUAUUACAUACCCUCCCUGUCCUCGAGCUGCUUCUUGGCAUGGCUGAGCUCGUUCUCGGACCGCUCGAGGCUCUCCUUCAAUGCAUUGACCUCUGCAGUCAGUGCGGUAGAGUUCAGCAGCGCAGCCUGCAUUCCCAUAUUGACAUAUUUAUGUUAGACUCCUGCGUAUAUCUUUUUAUAUCCUCAGCUCGGCUUUUCUUUCCGAACACCAAACUGAGCAUCAUGGGCUACUGUCUAUGCGGUAACAUUUUUAUAUGUUUUGAAUACUUACCUCAAAGCCUGUUAGAAGGCUCGUACAAGCUUCGGUCAGCCCGCUCUUGGCGGACUGAACCUUUUGAAUCACCGCACUCAUAAUAGUGCGGUGCUCCUCGUCGAUGGAGGCGCCGUUAAGCGCCUCCAGCAAAUCGUCCGGUGCCUCCGGUUGGACGGAAGCCGCCGGCGUAGUAGGCGUGCCCUUCUUGCGAAGGCGCUGCCUACCGGUCUCUGGAACCGUUGAUGGUUCCGGUGCAGUGUCCGGCCCAGGGCCGGACUUAGAUCCCUCCGGGGCUUUACCCUCGUUGGGCCUGGAGUCUAGGAGGUCACCUUGCGGAACCUCCAGGACCACCUCCUCCUGGUUUAGUCCCUUUCGGGACUCCACCUUAGCGUCGUCCGUAGGGAGAGGGGAGGAGGCCGUCGGAAGUGAAGCACUAUUCACAUCCGACGAAUCCAAGGAGCCACUCGUCGAAUCACCGAGCUGAGCCAUGGGCGGACUGCAUGAUCAAAUUCGGCGUUAGAAAAUACCGAGCAAUAGAGGAGCGCCAUAAGUUAUUCGGAUAUCCGAAUGCUUAUGAUUUUGCCAGGGGCUUGACCCUGGUGGCCAUUCCUCCCCGCCGUCUUCGGCAUCGGAGGUGUAGUCCGGCAGGAGGGUUCUCCCCUUCUUGGACCCUCCGCCCCCAGUUGGGGCGGCCUUCCUUUUCUUUCCUCCCCCCGCUGGAGGGGGAGAGGCUUCUUCUUCUUCCUCCUCCUCGUCCUCAGAGGCGGAGGGUGCUUCGGGGUUGUCAGGCGAUGAAUCCGACACCACUAGGCGCCGGGAACUCUUUCGAGUCCCCGUGACCUUCUUCUUGGCCUUCUUCUCCGGCACCACGUGAGGUGCCGGAACCAGCAGCUUCGUCAAGCGAGUGUCUGCUGGGUCUUCGGGCAAAGGAGCCGGACAGUUGAUCUGUCCGGCCUUCUUCUACCAGUCCUGUUAAAGGGAUGGGGUUUUAGAUCCCGCAUAGAAUCAAAUAUAUGGAAAACACAUACCCCGUAAUGGGAAAAUUAAGCUCACCGCGCUGGCUUGGCGCUUGGCGCAGAAUCCGCGAUCCUCGGUGACGGGAGGGGAGACCUCGGAGAUCUUGAAUAGCACGUUCCAGGCAUCCUCGUGCUUUGUGUCGAAGAGCCGGGACAGAGUCUGGUGCUGGGCUGGGUCGAACUUCCACAAGUUGAAAGCUCGUCGUUGAGACGGGAGAAUCCGGCGGAAGAGCAUGACCUGGACUACGAUGACAAGUUUAACCUUCUGCCGAUCAGGUCUUUGAUGCAGGUUUGAAGUCCGGUCACUUCUGCUGAAUUACUCCACAACAGGCCCGUCUCUUUCCAGGAUGUGAGCCGUGUGGGGAUGCCAGAUCAGAAUUCGGGGGCCACUGCCCAUUCAGGAUCACGUGACUCGGUGAUAUAGAACCACCCCGAUUGCCACCCCUUGAUGGUCUCUACGAAGGCGCCCUCGAGCCAUGUAAGGUUGGCUAUCUUGCCCACCAUGGCGCCUCCGCACUCCGCUUGGUAGCCGCCCACGACCUUCGGCUUGACGCUGAAGAUCUUCUGCCAUAGGCCAAAGUGAGGCUGGAUGCGGAGGAAGGCCUCGCACACGACGAUGAACACCGAGAUGUUGAGGAUGAAGUUCGGGGCCAAAUCGUGGAAAUCUAGGCCGUAUUAGAACAUGAGCCCUCGGACGAACGGGUGGAGAGGAAAGCCCAGUCCGCGGAGGAAAUGGGGGAGAAAUACAACCCUCUCAUGGGGCCUAGGGGUGGGGAUGAGUUGCCCCUCAUCUGGAAGCCGGUGCGCGAUGUCGUUAGACAAGUAUCCGGCCUUCCUCAACUUUUUGAUUUGUCCCGCCGUGACGGAGGAGGCCAUCCAUCUACCUCCCACUCUGGACAUGAUUGGAGAAGGUUGAGGUAGGAAUUGCAGACUUGGGUGCUGGAGCUCGAGUGCGCAGGUAUGGAUAAGCAAAGGAGGAAGAAGGCGUAAAUGGAAAGGGUAGAUCCUUAUCCCCUUAUAUGGGCGGCUGGAGCUACAAACCCCCACCAGUCUAAUAAAACUCGCUUAUCUCCCAAGCGUCGCGAUUAAUGGUGCGGUUGGGUUACCCACGCCCGUAUUGAUGAGAAUCCCGGAAUAAGGGGGUGUCGGGAUGGCCGGACUAUGACCUUUGGCCGGACUCCCGGACUAUGAAGAUACAAGAUUGAAGACUUCGUCCUGUGUCCGGAUAGGACUUUCCUUGGCGUGGAAGGAAAGAUUGGCGAUAUGAUAUGAAGAUCUCCUCCCAUUGUAACCGACUCUGUGUAACCCUAGCCCUCUCCGGUGUCUAUAUAAACCAGAGAGUUUUAGUCUGUAGGACAACAACAAUCAUACCAUAGGCUAGCUUCUAGGGUUUAGCCUCUCCGAUCUCGUGGUAGAUCAACUCUUGUAUUACCCAUAUCAUCAAUAUUAAUCAAGCAGGAGUAGGGUUUUACCUCCAUCGAGAGGGCCCGAACCUGGGUAAAAACAUCGUGUCCCUUGUCUCCUGUUACCAUCCGCCUAGAAUCACAGUUCGGGACCCCCUACCCGAGAUCCGCCGGUUUUGACACUGACAAGGAGGCCGAGGCGGCCCAGGUGUCCCUUGUCGAGGCAAAAGAAGCGGCCACCAUGGAGCACAGCACACCCGCCUCCCUCGAGGCGAGGUUCCACAAAGCUCAGCAGUCACUCUUUGGGGACGAUCCCUCGAAGAAACUGGCGGUGGCCCCAAGGGAGAGCCCUGCCGCCCUACUCCCUGAGGUCGUGGCAGUGCUCGAGGAUGUCGUCGACGGGUUUGGCUCUUUGGUGGAAGUUGAGGCUUGCUUGCUUUCUUCCUCGGCCCUUACGUGCGUCUUCAGCCAUCUCUAUCUCCGGGACGCCAGCUUCGACUUCACCACCUUCCUCGAGCCCGUGGACCUCAACUCCCAUAGCGCUUCUACUGCCGCCGUGAAGAGCUCCGUGGACGCCCUGCUGAGCAAGUUCCUUGUCAUCGGUCUAGCGGCUGGGGCCGAGGUGACGGGCAACGUGGCUGGCGACGAGGCUCCGCUGGCGGGUGAUGGCGGUACCCAGGGCUGAAGAAGUGACUUGGUGGCGUUGCUCCUUCAUGUUUGUCCUGUAUCAUAUAGCAUGCCUCGUGGAGGCGUUUAAAACUGAUUGCUUGGAAUAGUAUGUUUGGUAAUAAUUAGGUUGUGGUUCCCCGACUUUUUUAGAUUGCUUUGUUGUUUUGCGUCGGCAGAGCCCGACCCCGUGCAUACCUCAGCCGCCGUUGGGUCGUCCGGAUCGCCAGGACGAGCCCAAGGGGUAAGGGGCUAUGUGGCCAGUUAGGCUCCUGAGACGCGAUGCUCAAGAGUCCCCCUUGACAUGCAAACAGCUUAGGAAAAAGUGUGAAGACAAGCCUUGCUGUUCUGUGUCGGUGAUGUCUACUACACAACCUUCUUCUUGUAGACGUUGUUGGGCCCGUAAGUGCACAUGUUUGUAGGAUAGUACCAAAUUUCCCUCAAGUGGAUGACCUAAGGUUUAUCAAUCCGUGGGAGGCGUAGGAUGAAGAUGGUCUCUCUCAAACAACCCUGGAACCAAAUAACAAAGAGUCUCUUGUGUCCCCAACACAUGCGAUACAAUGGUAAAUUAUAUAGGUGCACUAGUUCGGCGAAGAGAUGGUGAUACAAGUGCAAUAUGGAUGGUAGAUAUGAGUAUUUGCAAUCUGAAAUUAUAAAAACAGCAAGGUAGCAAGUAACAAAAGUGAGCAUAAACGAUAUUGCAAUGGUUGGAAACAAGGCCUAAGGUUCAUACUUUCACUAGUGCAAGUUCUCUCAACAAUAAUGACAUAAUCGGAUCAUAUAACUAUCCCUCAACAUGCAACAAAGAGUCACUCCAAAGCCACUAAUAGCAGAGAACAAACGAAGAGAUUAUGGUAGGGUACGAAACCACCUCAAAGUUAUCCUUUUUGAUCUAUCUAUUCAAGAGUACGUAGUAAAAUAACAUGAAGCUAUUCUUUCCGUUCGAUCUAUCAUAGAGUUCAUACUCGAAUAACACCUUAAGACACAAAUCAACCAAAACCCUAAUGACACCUAGAUACUCCAUUGUCACCUCAAGUAUCCAUGGGCAUGAUUAUAUGAUAUGCAUCACACAAUCUCAGAUUCAUCUAUUCAACCAACACAAAGUACUUCAAAGAGUGCCCCAAAGUUUCUACCAGAGAGUCAAGACGAAAACAUGUGCCAACCCCUAUGCAUAGGUUCAUGGGCGGAACCCGCAAGUUGAUCACCAAAACAUACAUCAAGUGGAUCACGUGAAUAUCCCAUUGUCACUACAGAUAAGCACGGCAAGAAAUACAUCAAGUGUUCUCAAAUCCUUAAAGACUUAAUCCGACAAGACAACUUCAAAGGGAAAACUGAACUCAUCACAAGAGACACUACAAAAAAAAGACACAUCCAUGACAUUUUUGGCGAACGAAUUUUUUUUCUAUCAUACAUAUGACACUUCUAUGAUGAUAAUUGUGACAAAACCCGGUAUCAUUAUAGAUGUGGUGGGAUCCUACUUCUAUGACAAAAAAUCAUGACCGAAAAUGGGCUUUUCGUCCUGGGCGGGCCGGAGACGCAACUGCAUGACAUUCUUUGGGCCGUCCAUGACGGAAAAAACCGUGGUAGAAGCGAGUGCGAGGAAAAUUUUGGGGAGUUCCCGGUUACGGUGGGUGGUCGGGGGCCGAGCGAUGCGCGUUUCUCUCGUACACAUACGCGCGUGUGUGCGAGGCGUUGGCUCUAACGGAACCCGAGCGAGGCGUUGGGCUCUAACUGAACCUGAGCAAUUGCACUGCAGGCUACGCGUUACUGAACCCGAGCAAUCGAUCGAUGGCUAUUAACUGAACUCGAGCGAUCGAUUCCUUCGCUACUGCUGCUAACUGAAGCCGAUCGAUGCUGCCUCUCUGGAUGAACAAUGAGUGUUGUGGGGGGGCGGGUUGGAUGAACAGUGAGCGGUGGGAGUGGAUGAAUAGGACCCAUCGCGUUGCCUCUGGAUGAACAGGACCCCGUGGUGUGGAGGGCUGGAUGAACAGGACGACCCCGUGGAGGACUGGAUCAAUAGUAGACGGUGGAGGGGUGGAUGAACAGUAUCCCAUGGAGUGGUGGUUGAACAGGAGCCCGUGGAGAGGGGUGGUUGAACAGUAGCCGGUGGAGUAGCGCGCGGUGGAGGCUGGAUGAACAGGAGCCCGUGGAUGAAUAGUCGCAGGUGGAAGCAGGAGGAGGUCAACGGUGGAUGAACAGUAGCCCGUGGAGGCUGGAGGAGGUCGACGGUGGAGAUGAACAAUAUCCCGUGGAGUCCCGUUGAGGGAGUCCCGGAUUAGGGGUGUCCGGAUGGCCGGACUAAGACCUUUGGUCGGACUCCUGGACUAUGAAGAUACAAGAUUGAAGACUCCGUCCCGUGUCCGGAUGGGACUUUCCUUGGCGUGGAAGGCAAGCUUGGCGAUACGAUAUGAAGAUCUCCUCCCAUUGUAACCGACUCUGUGUAACCCUAGCCCUCUCCGGUGUCUAUAUAAACCCGAGAGUCUUAGUCCAUAGGAUGAACAACAAUCAUACCAUAGGCUAGCUUCUAGGGUUUAGCCACUCCGAUCUCAUGGUAGAUCUACUCUUAUACUACCCAUAUCAUCAAUAUUAAUCAAGCAGGAGUAGAGUUUUACCUCCAUCGAGAGGGCCCGAACCUGGGUAAAAACAUCGUGUCCCUUGUCUCCUGUUACCAUCCGCCUAGACACACAGUUCGGGACCCCCUACCCAAGAUCUGCCGGUUUUGACACCGACGCCCGUUUUGCGGUACGCCACACCCCUCCCGAUGAACAAGACCCCCGUUUCAACCAUAGCGCUCCAACACAAGUCCGUUUCAUCCGUUUUGCGGUAUGCCACACCCCUCCCGAUCAACAGGACCCCCGUUUCGACCGUAGGAGGUUCGUUUUGUCUGUUUUGCGGUACGCCAAACCCCUCCCGAUCAACAGGACCCCCGUUUCGACCGUAGGAGGUCCGUUUCCUCCGUUUUGCAGUACGCUAGACCUCUCUCGAUGCACAGGAUCCCGUUUCGAACAUGGCCGGUCGAACACAAGGCCGUUUCCUCCGUUUUGCGGUACGCCAGGCCUCGUUUCCAUCGCCUAUUCCGUCCAAGCCCUCCCGAUGAACACGACUAUGCAUUCCGUUCCGACCCAGCCGGUUGGCUCCCCAUGAACACGACGACGACGCUGUUUCUCCGUUCCGACCCAGCCAUGUACACGAGCCCUGGACAUACGUAUACGCAAGUAGGAAUUCGAGACCCCUCCCGUAUGUACACAUACGUGGCCGUAUUUUCUUUCUCUCACACUGGCCGCUGUAUGUACGUGUACAUGCUACGUGCGCGCCUCAACUAUGACACGUGCACACCUCUACUACGACAUGUGCGCGCCUCUACAUCAACCAGUAUAUAUGUACGUACACGUUCGCGACUAGAAUGACAAUGCUACGUAUGCUUCGACCAGGUGGGUCUCGACUGUCAGGCACUUCCUUGCGUGCGAAGAUGUAGCUGGUGGGUCCCAGCAGUUAGGGGGGCGAAUUAUUGUUUUGGGACACACUUCCUUGCGUGCGAAGAUGUAGUUGGUGGGUCCCAGCAGUCAGGGGGCGAAUCAUUUUUUUUUCCCGGACGCACUUCCUUGUGCGCGAAGAUGUAGCUGGUGGGUCCUAGCAGUUAGGGGGGAAACAUUUUUUUCGUGAAAUAUCGUGGCCCGUCCGGUGGGUCCCUGCUAUCAGGUGGAGGAAUAAUUAUUUUCCACGUAAUAAGGAGGCACUUCCUUGCUGCGGCCGUGGACCCAUCUGUCAGCCUCUCCAUGUACAGUCCACGUCCGAUGGAAGUCGUUCCUUGACCACGUUGACCCUGCUGCACCGAGAGCACUAGGGCGGUGGACGACGGCGAGUCCUAGGAAGGGGACGACACGGAGCCGGGAAAGACGUGGCAGUGGAAGCCAGCGCAGAGAGGAGUACGAGGGUUCACCGGUUCGGCUAUGGUGUGAGGCUGCCGUCACCACAGAAUAACAGGGGGUGUGGCUGAGUAGAGGGAUGCCCUGGCCAGCGGUGGGAGUAGUAGGGGGCACUGAGGCCUCUGCGGCAGCACAGCCGGCCACGGGAGGCGGGAGCAGGCGGUCUCGCCGGUGCUGCUUUGGCGGCUGGAGCAAGAAGAUCAGAGAUUGAAGAAACACGACGGCCGUUGGAUUGACAUAUAACGAACAUCUGCUAGAAUCAUUUGUUGACGUAUAUAAUAACUAACAAAAUCUUGCAUACGCGUCAACUAAAUAGGCCCAUUUGGUGUGGAACUGUUACUACUUUCAGAGAAUUCCUCAUGACACUAUCCUCUGUGGUUCAUUUUGGUGGAGAGACAUUUCUAAAUUAAUGGAAAAGUAUAGGGCUAUUACCUCUGUCACUGUUGGCAAAGGUGAUACUGUUCUUUUUUGGAAAGAUCAUUGGGAGAUUGAUCAUUCUUGCAUUCCUUUGCAGGAAAGGUUUCCAAGGCUUUUCUUUUUUUGCCUGCAGAAGAACCUUUCUGUCAUGGAAGUGAUUCAAGGAGAAAAUUUACAGAAAAUGUUUUCAUUGCCAUUGUCUGAGCUGGCAUUUAGGGAGUUCAGUCAGCUUUCAAGCUUGUUAUCUGGGACUUCGUUUGACAAUGAUCACAAUGAUUUAUGGGCCUGGAGACAUGGGAAAAGGCUGAGUACUCGGCAAAGAAGUACUCUGAUUUUGUCCACCAGCCUGUUUUUGCCAAUCCCAUACUGAGCUGGGUUUGGAAAAGCUGAUGCACCAUGUCAAUUAAAAUGUUUGCAUGGCUGGUCAUUAUGGACAGAGUUAACACCAAAGAUAUGAUUCAAAGACGACAUUGGCGAAUUAAUGAUGGACCUAGUUGUGUCCUAUGCCCGACUGUAGUUCUGGAGGAUAGGAAUCAUCUAUCCUUCCAAUGUAACUUCAGUAUGAGAAUUUGGAACUACCUGCAAGUUCCCUGGUUGGAUAGCAAUGAUAUGGUGCAAUUUGCUUUACAUGCAAGGAAGGAGUUCAAUAAGCCUUUUUUCUCUGAGGUGGUUUUCCUUGCAUGGUGGAAUAUCUAGAAAGUUAGGAAUGGUAGGGCUUUUAGGCAUGUCAACCCAACUAUUAGGCAGUGGAGAAAUGGGUUUAUUCAUGAUGUUACUCUUCUUUCACAGCAGAUCAUGACCAGAUACAAAGAGGAACUGCUCAAAUGGAUUGAUUUCCUGCCUCCUUGAGGGCAUUGUAACUGCUUACUUUCCUAGUUGUAGUCCUUCCUGCUUUCUCUUUUUUCUUAGAGUUUUAUAGCUUUCCUUGUAUAGCUUUUCUUUUUUGUUUGUUCCCCUUCUUGAGGAACUUUGUAUUUACUCUUUGUUCUUUAUUAAUAAAAUGCUGUGGGGUGUAAGCCUUGCAGUCUUCAAAGUCAUUUAUAUAUAGCUCAUGGAAACUUCUUAUGCAAUUUAUUGCAGUCAUUUUUUUGGUUGGCCAUGGCCAAUUUUUCAUAUUUCUGUGGGUUCCAAACUAUUUUUAAUAUCAAAAUGUUGAGCCAGAUUUAAAGUACUUUGAAGAUAUAUUUAAAUUAGGUUAAUGCCAAGUGAAAUAGGAAUCUGAAAAUGUGAAAAAAAUUUAUAAAGGAAUUGCCAUUUUGUCAUCUGUUUUUAUAUUUACAACCCAUUUCAUAUUACUUUCAAUAUUUGCAGGCGUCUUGAAAGAGUUGCAGCCCAUCAGGGCGUAGAAAAAUAAGUAGGCCUGGAUUGGGUAUUCUUCAGAAAAAAUAAACUGGGCUCAUUUUUACAAAGAAAAAAUAGCUGGGUUGGUCACAUGGUGAACAUAAAAUAUAAGCCUGGGCUAGACGGGCCACAGCUUAAUUCAAACCCUGCUCCGUCUCAACAAUAACAAAAAAAUACUGCUCGAGCAGCUACGUCCCAGGUGUCAGCCGAUCUUGUGCUGUUCUCUUGUCUAUUGACUAUAUACACUCACAAUGACGUGGCUCCCAGAUGUCAGGAAAACACUAGGAGGAAGCAUUUUAUUUUUCCAUACACUGACGUGGUGGGCCCCUACUGUCAUCCUAUCCACGUACUUCUGCCGAUUCCUGUUGUUUGUUGACCAUGUUGACAACGCGAGAGGGCGGCGCUGUGGCGAGCACACCAAACCGUGUGGAGGACGUCGGUGUUAACGAUUUAGGAGACGGUGGGGCGGCGAUGCGUGCGCUGAGGCGCAGCCAGCCGUGGGAGGCGGAAACAGGCGGCCCCGCCGGUGCUGGUUUAGUUUUGGCGGCUGGAGGAAGAUAGGACUGAAGAAACACGAUAGACUGUAAAAGCAGCAGGAGUACUUAACAACCUUAACUGAAACCAGCAGGGGCACUUAACAACCAAAGCUGAAAGUAGUAUGAGUACUUAUACAGGUUCAACCAUACAAAGCACGCCUCAAACAGUGCUACUUUUCCUACAGUUAAGCAAGUGUGAGGCCACCAAGCCCCAGGACUGCCACCCCGCGCAUCCACAACCUUCUGAAAGCGGUUUCAUCUCGCAAUGUGGUCAAUAAACAUGAUAUUCGGUUUAGAGCCAUGGAAAAGCAUGAACAUAAUCUUCUGUCCUAUUCUCCAAGAUGGACGGGCCUUCAUUAUUUGAGACCACCCAUGAAUAAGUAUCGUUUCACCUCCAAGGGGAAUUGAGUAGGUCGACAUAAAAAUCAUGUUGUGACCAAGCGCAAGUCUAACCCAGCCAUGGUCAGGCAUCUGUAUAGGAACAAUAGAACUGGGCAGUUCCUGUUUCAAGAAGACACAGCUGUAAAACUAUGUAUAAGCAAUAGUUUAUGAACAACAUAUAUAACAGAAAACAACUCGUACCAUAAGUUUCUCGACACAGUUGGACCUGUUCAACGAGUGCAGCAGUGGCACACAUAUCCCACGUGGCCUUCCACCAUUGAAACGCCCCACAAGGACCUCAAGACGAUCAAUAAAGUGUAGGAACUUGUGGAUGUCGAUCCAAUUAACUUUAGUGCCAUCAGUAACAGCCGAGUUAUUACAGAGUAACAAAUGAGCAGACUACUUAACUCUGAAAAAACCUACACGUGCCACCAAUUAUAAGAAAAUAUUAGUUAGAAGUAGCAUCUUCGUGAGAGAUUCGUUGCUACUUCUAAAGUUAAAUUGUGAUUAGUUAGACAGAAUAGGUGGAUUAAGAAGUAAUCGAAGCAACAAGCAAGAACUAGAUACAAAACUAACAUGGAUGAACAAUUGGAACGACGUCGGGGUGGAAGAUCGCAGUGAAGAUGAGACCAGGUUCUGCUAUUUCCAUCAACAUUCGUGCGCCAACUUUCAGUCCGUAACACUUGGGAAAGUUUAUCCAAGUUCGGCCAUAAAAAAAGCAGCGAUCUUCUUGGUUCAUGAACCCAACUCGGAACUUAUAUCCAUGGCUUGUCUUCGCUGUGACCAUUAAACUAGUGUAUUUAGUUAUGGCAAGGCCGAGCAUCUUGAGUACAUGUGUUCUGGCAGAGCAAAUAAUACAUUGCAGGAGAAAUAAUAUGAGAACACAGCAUGUUCAAGAAAACCCCACCCUCCCUGAUAGAAAAGAGGAGUCUAGGAACAUACUGUGCGUGUUUCAAAAUGUUGUGUCAGGAUGAGAAGGAACAAGUGUGGCGUCUCGCCGAGGGUGCAGAAACCUAUAGGGUCCUCGCACUUUGGGCACUGCAAAUGAAACACACUAGAUUUAGUAGGAAGAAAAAUGCAUCAACGGCGACGGCUGCCGUCCUAGGAUUACCUGCGACCAAGGGACUUGGAUUUAUCGGGGAUGGAUGAAGAAUUCAUACCUGGUUCUCCAUGAGAAAACCCUAUGCAAUAGCCGAGAGGGGGUUUUCUCUAAACAAACAGACAAGGGAGAAGGGGAUUCAGGCCCAGUGAAAUAUUGCCGCUUCGUCCAUCGAGCUUACUGCUAAAUCCGAAGGGGGGGGGUUGUGAUUUGACGGCUCAUUGGGCAUUACUGCGGCGCUACGACCGCAGUGUGUCUACGGUGCAGUUGUGCACUCUAAUUUGUGCAUAUGGCACGUGGACCCCGUUGCCGGUUGCUCCACAUAUCAGUGAAAGGAAGUAGAAAGACAGGAGUAACUAGUUACACAUAAAUAUAUUUUUUGACAGAGAGAUACUCCCUCUUUAAAGAAAUAUAAAAUCUUUUAUAUCACAACUUUAUACAUAAGAAAAAUCAAGGGGAAUAUAUAUAACAUAUAUCUCUACUCUUAUAAAAACAAAGUUGGUCAUGAUGGUGUGCCUGGCAUCCUGCAAUAUAAGCCGUCUGAUUUAUAUCUGACGGAUAGGAAGGGAAAAUGGAAAUUUUGCAAAAAGGUACCCACACACCUCUCCACAUUUGCAAAUAAGGCCUUCCCUCGUUCAUCCUUUUCUCUCACAAGAUAAAAUACUCAUAAAAAUGCAUCUUGAUGUUACAUGCAACGCACGGGCAUUAUGGGAGUUCAGCUUUUUCUAUGGGGGUUCAGCUGAGAAUAUAAUACUCAGAAAGGCUCACGGUUCUGGACUUUGGGCCGCAGGCCCACCCAGCAUGUUUGGGGGCCCAUGUGUUCUACCUCAGUGCUUUUCAUAUUGCAAGUGAUCGGUACGGCGCUGGUUUUAGAUAUUGUCGCAAGGUGAAUACACAAAAUCGAAUAAUGCACGGCAGCUAUUGGUAUGAAAUCGAACGACAGUUCCUAACCAGCAAUCAGAGUUGCAAUUCUGCCAAUGAUAUACCAUGUGAUAAAUAAUACUGUCGUACUACUUAUGCACACAGGACACUUGUUUCACCUUGCCAGAUUAUUACAUCAAAAUCUCUCGGAGCAUAGAUCAGUUCGGCAGUUGCGUGCUGCUACUGAAGAAUUUCAAAGUUGAUUUGGACCAGCUCUCCUUGCCGAGAAAGUUUGAUUUUGACAUCAUCCCCUACCGCAAGAUAUGAUUUAGAUUUGAACCUUGACCAUCCUUUAGCAUCCACCAUCAUGCGACCAUCCUUUGUACUUACGAUAUAUUGAGCAGGUUCAUUCACACCAAGGCUGCCCAUGGUAAGAGAAACUUGGCCGCGGUCGCCCGGAUUGUUGAACGACUCCCUCGUUGCUCUAGGAAUUCUCUGUUUGCAAACAAGAAAACAUACCCAAACAGUUAGAUCAACACAGUGAAUCAUGUGAAACAACAUGAAAAGAAAAAAGAACGAAGCACUUGGGCGGCCAAUGCUUACCAAGAAGGUGGACAUGUCGGUUUUUGUAAGGGCUUUGGUAUAUGAAGUGCGAACUGCAGCCCAGUCUGUUGCUGGUGCAACUGCACGGGCCGGAGCAGAUGCAAGUGCAAGUGUUAGUGCAGGUGUCGAAGAUGGUGCUCCUUGUAGAGCUGGUGCCGGUGUCGGAGCAGGUGCCGAUGUCGAUGCCCGAUCCUCCGGUAGAUCAGACUGAUCCGCAGACGCGGUCGGUGCCCAAUCCUCAGCUGGAUCAGACUGAGCUGCUGCCGCUGUCAGUGCUAGAGCAACUGUCGGUGCUCGAUCCAUUGCUGAAGGUGGUACCGAUGUGCAAGAUGCGGCGAUCGUGUCUGGUCUGCUAUGAUCAGCUUUCUAACUUGACUAGGAUCUGUGACCUUGAUCCAGUCUUUUUCUUCAUUUCUUCUAAACGCGAGAAGGACUAAUUGUGGCGUUUUUGUUAAACCAAACUGCAGUUCAUCAUAGGGAUUCAGCUUGUACUCAAACAACAGACUGAUCCAAUUUUUUCCAGUAAUAUAAGUGAUGGAUAGUGCCUUCGUUACUGACACGACAUAAGAAGUCAAACCUGCAAAAAUAGCCAUCGUAGAGCAAACCAAACGGUUUAUUCUGUGAUGAAUGUCACAUGGCAAAAGCUGCAUCAUAAAAUUGCAGGAAAAGAAAGAAAACAUGACAUUAAAUCAUUAAGAUUUAGAUAGUAAAUCAAUAAGAUUUACUUGAUGUGACACAAGUGAAUUCUUACCAGGAAAUCACUAUGUUGAAGUACUAAACAGAAGAUUGAUCGUCCAACUAGGGCUGGUAUGCAGGGGGCCCUCCUACUCCCACAAGCAGGACAGUCCAAAGGACGUGACAAAUCGUAUGGACCAAACAUCCAUGGAACUAGAAAUCCUGGUGGGUGCGAUAAACCCUGCAAUGCAUACAAAUAUUGGAGUGUAACCAUAAUUGAUAAACCGUCCUCACAAAAAAGAUGAUCUGGAUACUUCAAAAUAUAUAGACUGAAUUGAGUGGACAGACAUUAACAUAGACCGUUCUCAGGACUGACCACACACCAAAAGCGGUAGUACUAAUAAACAAUACAGGGUUCACAAACACAAAUCAAGUACUGAACAAUAGUACUUACUACAGACAAGCAAAGUUGCACUAAUUAAACUCUGCAGACUAUUUCUUGCCACCGACCUACGGGAUGAACCCCGCAUAACUGACUAUGCCAUGGACUUCGUGAGAGAUGUCUACAUGCACCAUCACCAUCUUGUCAACCUUGGAGAACCUAACAGAGUGGUCUUUCCACUCAUAAAAAUGAUGAUGAAGACAGGCCGCAUCAGAUUUGUUGGGAAGCUUUACAAGAACCACACCCUUCGUAAUCGAAGGCACAACCAGGAAAUUGUUGUGGUCAAGUCAGCCUCGAGAACACGCCUGUCAACAAUGCUACAGGAAAACACUAGUUCAGGACACGUGGCGACAAGGACACAUCAGCUGGAUAGUUUAGCAGUAGAACUCAUCCCCAUGUCUUCCAGUUCACACGGCAUGACUUUGAGAACUACAUCUCCACAGCGGACCUGGUUCUAAUUCAAACAGAAACCAUAUUUUAUUACUACCUCCGUUCAGAAAUAUAAGAUGAUUUUUGAUAUUAUACUCCAUAUAUGACUACAUAUACGCACAGAAAUGAGUGAACAAAGACACUAGAACAUAUCUUCAAAGGCAUGAGAGCAGAGGGAUUACUUGCAAUAUCCAUAACACAAGUUACUAAGGAAAAUAUACCCUCUUCAAAGGUAGCAUUGAUGUUCAUAAAGUACUCCCUUCGUCCCAAAAUUCUUGUCUUAGAUUUUUCUAGAUACGGAUGUAUCAAGUCACAUUUUAGUAUUAGAUACAUCUAUAUCUAGACAAAUCUAAGACAAGAAAUUUGGAACAAAGGGAGUAGUUGAAAGUAAUCUAUAAGAAAUCAGUGUCAACCUCUCGCAUCUUUUGGUCAAAAUGGGAAUUUAGAACCGUCAUUUGGCACACUAAAAUAACAUGCAAGAUCACCCAGAAAGUUGUACUACCAGUACUAGUACUGCAUAUUAGAUGAAAAAACACGAUCAAGAUCGAGAAAAAGAUCGUCAACAAGAGACAUUACCUGGACUUGCUUAAUGAGGGAUCCCGGAGAGGGGGGCUUGGAUAGGGCGAUGGCUUUGAGCUUGUUUGCGGUAGUCUCGGUGGGGUGCUUGCGCUUCUUCGUACCAUGAGCCUCGACAGUUUUGGCCAGAGCCAUAGACAUCACGUCAGCCGGUGCUCCAGCGUCCAUCCAAGAGAGGAGGCCGAGAGAGAAGAGCGAAAGGAGGAACGAGAUGAGGGAGAAGCAAAGCGAGUGGGGUUUUUCUUCAAGAGAGGAAGCUGAGAGAGAAGAGUGAAAUGAUGGUUGCUUCGUCCGUCCAACUUACUGCUAGAAAGGAGGGGGUUUUGUGAUUUGAUGGCUCAUUGGGCAUUACUGUGGCGCUUCAAUCGGUGUAGUCUACGGUCACUCUACUACGGAGUAAUUUAGUGCAUGGCUGGUGGACCCAGGUGCUGGCUGUCCCACACGUCAGCGAAAGUGAGUAAUUUAGCGCAUGGCUGGAGGAGGAUCCGCACGGUAGAUCGUGUCCACUGUUUUUCUGAAGAAAAAAUGAUUAUAGCAAGCGUUUCCACUCUUAUGGCGGAGGAGUGCGAAACAUGGCAGCCACUUGAACAUACACAGUGCUCCUACUACUAGGCAUGUGCAGUGGUUCAUACGUCAGUACUAGACAAUCUUGUUGCUAGUGUAGUAAGAUAUGACGAUAACAAAUGAUGUUGUGCGCAUGUCAACUACUCCUAUAUGUAAAAUAGUACCGCUUUUUCGACUGUCUGGUCGAGAAUGAACGGUGAGAUCAAUGUUAACCGAAGUAGGUCUACAGUGCACGGAGAGUACGGUGCUACAGUACUCCACGAAACAUGAACCAUAUGAAGCACGGAUAGUGUUAGGCAGGGUGUAUGAAGGGGAAUUCCAUAUGAAGGGUGCACGGGAUGGGAGCAAAAGUUCCCUUCUCGACCCACUUUUGGGUGUUUGGCAGAGUGCAUGAAGGGUGCAUGAGUCCACACUAGUAGGUUAACAAAAAUACAUGAAGACGAAACAACUAUAUUGAGAUGAGAAUGCAACCAAACACACCCACACGCUUUGUGCUACAAUGACUGAUCUGCACCGUCUUAGUUUGAUCCAAUGGUCAUGUUGUGUUGAGACAUGGACAUGCCCAUGCAGAGGGCACCUAAACACCACGGAAGUCCCUCUGCUUCUCGAGGCGCACGAUGUUGGUGAUGCAGGGUGCAACUGCCCGCAGAGCCCGCUCCCAGUCCACGGGAGCCAGCUCGUCAAAGACGGCGUCCAAUGGCACGAAUGGAUUCCGGUGAUGGAGCCCUGAAAGGAUUCGCCCGACAACGGCGACGGUAUCCCGCAACCCCUCCUUGUCAAGCUCAGCCCCCACCAUCACGCGGAGACGGCUUAGCUCCUCGGAUAUAUAGGUGAAGAAGGAGACCAGGUUAGGAAGCCGCAACUCUUUGAAGUCGACCGGGUGGUCGAACGGAUUUAGCCCGAUGGCCGGCAUCAUCGCGCUGGCACGGCGGCAGGCAUCGCGCAGCCGCAACACGUGCUUGGCAACUUGGUUCGUCAAGUGGUUGAGGCGAUCCUGGACCUCAUCACGAUCGGCCCACUCGUGCUCCAGCUGCCUCCCCUGACGGCCUAUCGUAUCUCCCGCUUUCUGCAGCAACACCGCCGACACCUCGAGCAUCUUUGUGGUGGACGCCUGCCGCUUUUGAAGCUUGGUGAACUUCCACACAUAACGGAGGAGCAUGGCACUCCUCUCCUCCUUGAGCUCACGGAGCUCCACGUCCUUUGCCCUGAGCUCCGCAUCCUUGGCAUGGAGCUCCUGAGUCAGGCGCCUCACCUCGGACUCCGUGAUCUGCUGCGCCGCCUUGGCACCAGGUGGAAGCAAUGGGGAGAGGAAGCAAAGGGGGUGAAACGGCUGAAAGGCAAUGCAAUCUACGGGAAGGCGGAGGGAGCCACCCGACGAGCGGGGAAUCUUUUGGUUUUCACCAUGGUAAAACACCAGUCGACGACUUCUCACAUCAGGGAGCAGUGGGUUUUACAGGUGGAGUCAUCGUGACUAAUUGCUGCCGCGCCUGCUCCCGUCAAUCAAGAAAUUAAAAAUCCUGCCGUGCAUGCUCCUGUCAAUCAAAAAAUUAAAAAUCCUGCCGCACCCAAACACCAGAGCAACGCCGCGGUGGAUAUUUAAAUUUACCUGCCGGCAAGUAGAUAAAAAAAGGGGUGAAAAAAUAAAUGUGGCGGCGGCCUAGCUAAUCGGUCGAACUAGCCCAACUAGCUAGCCACCAUGCUUCACUGAUGUACUCGGCGGGAAAGGUGGUCUUUCGUGAUUUGACAACUCAUUUACUUGCUUCGGCGCUACGACCGAGGAGGACCCAGAAAAUGCACGGUAGGGCGUCCCACGUCAGGAAGAAUAUAUGCAUGCACCACCCGGGAGGACCCCGAAACCGUGUGGUAGGUUGUGCCACGUCUCGGCACGGAGGAAAAAUGUGCGUGUAAAAAUAUACUCCCUCCGUCUAGGUGUGUAAGUCAUCUUACGAAAAUCAAAUAAUCCCAAAACACUUACGCGUGGUGCAUUAACUUCUAUCUCGUUUCUUGUUUCUUGACAUAUCAACCAAUAAGAGAUGAGGGGUGUGCAUGCUUUUAAUGAUUUGAGACUACCAAACAUGACAUGCAGUGGUUAGUUCAUUGCAUGCAAUGUUAUUAAUUAGCAAAUAAACGUUAAGGUCUCUCAUUUUCCCCUCCUCCUUGGUCACGGUGACUUACUCACCUAGACGUAGGGAGUACUAUAUCAGACGUCGGCAGUAACUCUAGUAGUACCUAUGGUUCGACCUCGGGAGCCAUCCAUUCGGUCAAAAACACCCCACUAGCCACACAGCUUCAUCAUGCAAAUGUGGCAUGGAGGAUAGAUGUGGUUAGCUUCGUCUCGACUAGCCACAACGUCUCUUGUUCUAGGCGAUUCUUCUAUUUUCCAAUCUUUUUUUUGUUGUUGUAAUAACACCACGACAAGCUAGCUCCACUCUUCGUGUGUGCCCGUGCAAAGGUUAGAUGAUGGAGAGAAGAGAGAUUGAGAUCGCGGACCUGGGACCCACGAGUAAGUGAGACAACGUUCAUGCACGUGUUGACGAGGCACUCCCUCUACUCUACUCAACGUAAUACUGCAUAAAAUCAAGUUAUGGGACAAAGCCAACAACCGUUGUUGUUCAAGGCUAUCAACUUACGCUUUUUAGUCCAGGUUGCCAGUUCGAAUCUCCUCUUUCAGAUUUGUUAGUUUUUGGUCCAAAUUUGAUUAAUGACAAGUGGGACCCCCAUGUGUUAUUCCAAUAUUUCAGUGUAGGAUGGUUUUUUUUGAACAAACACUUUGCACGGUUAGACAAGUAAAGGCACGAGUUACACGUAUUUUGCAAGUUUACGAACAAAAAUGAUAGAGGCAUAGAAUAUCACAUCCACCUCGCAGCUUAGAUACCAUGGUGAUACGAGUUUUUACACCGUUGAAAGUGAGAUCAAAUGGCUUUGGAGUAGUCUUUGUAAUUAUGCGCAAUUUCCAAACUCUCCAAAGGUUUUUUUGCAAAUAAAACAUCCAAGCCUCGUGUGUGCCGCUGCAUCUUCGAUCCAACGGCUCCCUGUUGCUCAUAUUAGGUGGUCCCCGUAGCUUAAUUACCUGCUAAGGUGAUAUGAGCAUCUAGGUUCUCUGAUCAGUGAUCAGAUGGCACAUCCGUAGUACUUGUACUUUCUGCUCAUUUCCCAAACUCUAUCAGUCGUAUAUUUCAAAAACAUUCAAACCUCCUACUGUGGGCCGUUAGAUCUUAGUGAACUCGUAUCACCAUAGAAUCUACGGUGCGGGAGCACCUCAUAUACUGUUGUGCGAGAAAACAUAAGGUGCUAUCACAGCUUGGAUGCUACGGUGAUACGAGCUUCGAGGUCGUUUGAUCUGAGAUCCAAUGGCAUCCGAGCAGUCUUUGUGCUUGUAAGCAGUGGCCGAACUCUUUUGGGGCUUUUCUGCAAAAAACCAUUCAAACCGCCGAGGAGGUGUUGGGUCACAAAUCCAACGGCUCCGAAGAGCUUGUAUCACCAAAGCAUCUAAGGUGUGGUAGCACAUGAUAUUCUUACAUACAGGAUAAUAUGAUGUCCUCCUUAAUCUUAGAUGCUACAGUGAUACGAGCUUCGAGGUUGUUGGAUAUGGGAUCCCAGGGCAUCUGAGUAGUUUUUGUACAAAUUGUGUGCAAUUCUCAAACUAAUCAAGGUUUCCUGUUAAAAUAUUAAGACACAUCAUGUGAGCUGCUAUAUCUCAGAUCUACAAGCUCCAAGCAACUCGUAUCAGCAUAUAGCAUCUAAGGUAUGGGGGCACAUGAUAUUCUCCCGGGGAGGAGGGGUGGGGGGUGCACAACCAAUCGGUGGUUGGGAGGGUGGGGACAAAUAUAGUCUAAACAACCCUAAUCAGAGAUCCAGAAUUUUAUCUAAGGUCGAGGGGUUGACCCCCAACAAUCAUAGCUCCGCCUAAACACAACAUUUGCAUGUACUGUAGUACUAGACUUAACAUUCAUGUUUCAGUCUCAUGUUCAUUUUAAAUAUUGAACUGAGGAACAUGCAUGUCUUACAUUUUACUCCAUUUGUUCCUAUAAAUAUUAGUUUUUUUAGAGAUUUCAAAUGGACUGGCAUAUACGGAUGUAUAUAGACAUAUUUUAGUGUCUAGAUUCACUCAUUUUGCUCCGUAUGUAGUCACUUGUUGAACUCUCUAAAAGACUAAUAUCUAGGAAUAGAAGGAGUAUUUUUUAAUUCGUGUCAUACAUGCAUGGUUUGGAAAAAUAGAUGCACUAUACUUAUUGGAUUGUUGUUGUGUUCGUGCGUGUGUGUCUGUGUGUGUGUGUGGUCAUAUGCUUGAUACAUACAAAGUUUUCUCACCUCCAUAUUGUUCAUCUUUGAAAUUUGAAUUUGCAUUGGGAAACUUACUAGGGAUACCAUGAAAUGUGAAAUCCAUGUUGAGAUCACUAUAUCGCAUACUCACUCUAAUUCAACAACUCGUCAUAAAUCAAUUACCAUGUUAAGAUUAGUAUUUGCAAGGAAAAUACGGGUAUUGUAAUACACAUAGAUUCGUUCGGCAAUUUAAAAGGUUCCUUUCGUAUUCUCGAAUGGUAGGACCCAACGGUGUACCAGCCGGACCUUAGCUCCUGUCGAUCCUAAAAAAAUAAAAAUACCGGGCUCGUGUCCUUUCGUUGGCGUGCGUGGUACACACAUUAGGCAACCCCAACCAGUCGAGCCUCAGCGUUUCAAGUCGAAAUAUCUGGCGGCUAGAAUUCCAGCCCUAGGAAAUUCCCCUCAUGUCCCCGGUCCAUAAUUACUACCGAUGAACAGCGGAGGGAUGCUUUAGUAACUAGACAACGUUACCUACCGUGCCGAGCACGGUUCAAUUCCCUCGGUCGUCGCUCGUCAAGGUCACCCGUCAACUGCAUUGCCUAGUACUACUACUACCACACCAGGAUGAGCACAAAAUUGAGCCCGUUUGUUCCUGCCUAGUACUUGAGUUAAUAUAUCAGGCAAUGCACUGGUACGGAAGGAUUAUCCUUUUACUCUGCAUAUAAAACUUGUCUGAAGUCUAACUAAGCAAAAUGUUUGACCAAAUUCUUUCUUAAGAAAUACAACAGGACAGAUGUACGGCUUGAAAAUUUAUUGCAUCAUGCAGGUUAUGAUAUUGUUUCAAAUCCUGGAUCUUAAAUUUCAGACAAUCCAAAAGUGAGCAUGAAUUCUUGAAACUUAGCAUGGUCACGUGAUAUGGCACAAAUAUUACUUCGUAAGUUUUUCUUCAAUUUGAGACAAGCUGCUUAUGACAAGUUGCACAAAUGAAGAGCCAAGGUAUUUUGGAACAAAGUCCUGUCACGUUAAGGCGAACGUUUUCACUAUUGAAACCGUGGGCGUUUCAUGCCGCCACGAGUCCCUGCUUCUCAUCGGCAGGUGCCAUCCGAGCUAGCGUGUGAUGAGUAGAUGGGACGCGUGCGAGCAAACCGCUGCACCGGCUGACAGGGAGGCAUGCGAGCAGACCGCUGUGCAGGCUCACCGGGAGGCGAGCCCUUCCCAACUUCUCCCACUUUUAAUGUCGUCGGUGCCGCGGUUUAAAAUCAACCCCGCACUACCCGGUAUCGAUACAAUCUUCUCUCUUCCUCUCCGAUUCUCCUGUCGUCUAUCUCCAACUAGCCUGACCUAACGUACGCCAUGCCGCAUCACGAUGGUCUGCCCUUAGUGUUCCAGUUUCCUGAGGAAGACACCCAGCCGGAGUCUCAAGAACAUAAGGCGCUUUGGGAUGAGCUUGAACUGGCCUUGCGGGAAGAUGCCGCGCAUGUCCCCGCUCCCGUUCCGCCUCCCGUCGCCCCGACUACGCCAGCGCCAACCUGUGGCAUUGAUGGGCUGCAAGCCGCAUAUUGUCGCCGAGCUUGAUCCCACGGGGUUCCAUGAGGUCCCCGCCGACUUUCACGCACCCGUGCACCUGCCAGCGCGUGCGCCUUCGCAUGCACUGACGCGCAUGCUGUGCCGGUGCCCGUGCACCUGCUAGCGCAUGCGCCUGCGUGUGCACUGACGUGCGCGCCCAUGCCGGUGCCCGUGCACACAAAUGUCUCCGCCGCACCGUUGACAGCGCCUGUCCCCGCGCGGGUGUCAAUGCCCUCCUCAGCGGCAUGGAUGGCUGCCGUCGACCGCUUCCUUGCACCAACGCCAGUUGCCUCCUCACUCCAGUUGACUCGCUCCGAAGUCCAGAACAUUUUGGCCUUCCUUGAAGCUAGGCCAACAUCCAGGAGUACACCAACAACGGCGCAAGACGCCGCCGUCGCCGUCCGUCAGUGGCCCGACGACACACAGAGCACGGCAGAGGAGCCGCUUCCCACCGCAAGACGCCCCCGCCACCGCCGCGUAAUCUAAAUUUGCCAUGAAAAACGUUCUGAUUGCCAUGCUUAAAAUACGAACAUUUAUAAUUUCCGUUUAGUUUAUAUCAAUCAUCGUAUAAUUUAAAGUCGGAGUCAGACUGAACAAAAUCUAUGGUUUGAUCGAUUGAAUGUUCUGCUAGAGACGUAUCAAAUUAAAUAUAAGACGUCAUGAAGCCACAUGUAUUCCUUGUCAUCCAACGACCUAGACUGCUUCAAUGUCGAGCGCUCAACACGUUUAGCGUGCAGUUAAUUUCAUGCCAAAAAUAGUGCUAAUCACAUAAUAACACGCAAAUAAUAUCCUACUUAACAUCCGCAUGUACUUAAUAUACUUCCAAAUUAAUGUGCAUUGCACAUACACACUGACUAGUGCCGCUAGUACGUGAAACUGGUGCCGUGACUUGUGAACGCGUUCAGAUAUGGUCAACGGCAACAUCGCCCGCGAGUUCUUCGUGUUUGCCCGUGCGUCUAAACGCAGAAGGGGAGGAGAGAGAGAGAGAGAGCACACAUGGAACCCAAAAGUAAGUGAAGGCGAAUAGUACUAAAAAUAAUAUUACAUGUUAUCCAUUAAAUAGGCUGUGGUAAUAAAAAACAUUAUGUGAACAAAGGGGGUUACAACAAACAUUGCUGUUCUACGUAAGUUGCCUAUUGACGUGCGGCUUGAAGGCCCGGUCGCAUGUUCGAUCCUCGUCCUUUAUUUUAUAAUUUGUAUAUGGGUCCAAAUUUGUUUCAUGACAUGUGGGCCCCUUGGCGUGUAGUUUGUAGCACUUCAAUUUGUGGGUCGAAUUUUGUUCCAUUCCAAGUGGACUAUCGGUGUGUAGUUUUGUAGCUUAUUUAUAAUAAUUAAAGAGAACAACAUAGUUUUUUCUAAUAAUACCAUGGUGCGACGUUGAAGGCGAGAAAGGACGUGUGAGAGAGCGAUGACCGAGCUAGAGGGAAAUUAACUAGGGAAGUUGCGGGGGUUGCAACGGUGUUUGGAGUAGUUGUGGGCCGAAUGCUACGAAAAUAUAAUCUAAACCGAUCGGAAUAAAUGCUUACACAAAUUAUUCCAAGGUUGGAGUGCCACUCGCAAUGUAAAUAGCUCCGGCUUUGCGAGGGAUGGAGAGGUAGUAGCUUCAAUGCGUGGAAGAUACGGUGUGAGAAAGCAAGGUCAAUCGAGAGGCAUAUAGAUAGAGAGACAAACUGAGUGUGGUCCGACAUUCAUUGAACAGAUAUAUAUGCUCUUGAGAGAUAUUGUCCAAUUGAGCUUUUGGCAAGGGUGAGGGCUGUAAGAUAGAGCUUGAGAGAUGAUCCAGUCACAGACGUGUAGAUAUAUUUUGUGCGUGGGAGGAAGCAAGGUCAAUCGAUCACAUAGGGUCGCCGUGCGAUCGAAAGAGUGAGGCGGGUUGGAGAGAGUGACCUAGAUAGACAAUGUGUGUGCGAGAGUAUACAAUGCGAGUAGGUCGAAUUGGGCUCAAACAUGGUGAUAUAUCGUUUUUGUCCGAGAAAGAGCAUGGUCAAUCGAGAUAUGCAGAGAGAGAGAGAUAGAUAGAUAGAUAGAUAGAUAGAUAGAUAGAUAGAUAGAGAGAGAGAGAGAGAGAGAGAGAGAUUGAGUGAGCGUGGCCCGCCAUGAGGUCGAAAGAGUGGCGGCGGCUUGGAUGGAGUGACCUAGAUAGACAAUCUGCGUGAGAGAGUAUAGAGUGUGUCGAUCGAGGCCCAAACAGGGAGAUAUAUCGUAUGUGUAUGAAAGAAAACGAGGUUAAACGAGAUUCAGAUAAAGAGAGCAAGAUUGAGCGAGUAUGGACUGCCGUGUGGAAGAAAGAGUGAGACAAUCUCGAGGGAGUGACCUAGAUAUACAACGUGCAUGUGUGCGCACGAGAGGUUGGGGGGGCUAUAUAGGCAAUGCAUGUAUUUAGCGCGAGAGGGUGAGAGGGAGAGGGGGAGAGAUAGAGAGAGAGAGCUCAACAUGGUGUGCAAUGGCAGGUGUGUGAGGUAAAUACAUUUGGUAACAGAGUGGAAAAAGGGGUUGUGUAGUUGAGAGACUUAGAGAUCGAAACAUGGAGAGAAAGAAUGAACGUGUGUUGGAAACCGAUAGCUUCUUAAGGUGGUAAGAGAGGAAGAUUGACCGAUACAUGAAGUAUGUAGCGUGUGUGUGUGUGUGUGGGGGGGGGGGUGGUUGAAUGUACAUAGUACGAGACUUAACAUCGAUGUUUCAAUUCGGUGUACAUUGUAAGAAUUUAUCCGAGGACCAUGCAUACGAGUAAUUAUUUCGAAUUCGUGCCAUACUAAGUUUCGAAAAGUUGACAUUGACUCAAUUUGUUGUGCUUUAUUGUAGGUCAUAUGUUGAAUCCAUCCAAAAGUUUUCUCACUACCAUGGUGUUCAUCAUAUACAUAUGAAUUUGUAUUAAAAAAGUAGUGUGGAUAUAGUGAAAUGCGAAAUCCACAUUAGAAUUGGAGAUCGCUACGUGACACAAACUCUAAUUCAAAUAACUAAUUAUGUGACACACACUAUAAUCCACGUUAGCGUGGAUACCGUUUCGAUUUUUUUUCAAAUAGCUCAUUAAUUAAUUUAUAGUACUCCCUCUGUUCACUUUUAUAAGACCUUGAAGACAUUUUAGACAAUGUGCAAAACAGUUCAUUAUAAAUUUUCUGAACCGACUUACAAAAGUGAACGGAGGGAGUAUCUCGUUUCGAAUGACUAAUUAUUGCAAGGAAAACACGGGCAUGGUAAUACAUACAAAUUCAUUUGCAAAUGAGAGAAGAUUCGUUUGCAUUCUCAAAUGUAGGCGCACCAGGCAGACCAGGGUCGUGUCGGGGUGGAUGCUGCUUCGGUGCCUUAAGGCACCGAAGCAUAGUCGUGUCGGGGUGGUCGCGUGUGUCCGACGGACGCAUAGCACCCAGCCACCCACCCCCCUCCCUUGUGCCUCCCUCCCCCACUCCCUCCCUCGCCCCCCCAAAAAAAGGAGGACGAUAAAAUAAGUUUGCUCUUCCAUGUUUCGGAUUGAAAUAUCUGGCGGCCCCAAUUCCAGCCCUGCAAAAUCUCUCUUCUCCACCGUCCCCUUUCGCGCCCAGAUUGCUGAAAUCCCUAAUUCGCUGCCAACCCAAGCAAAGUUCGAGUGGCCCCUCGUCUCGUCUCUUUCCCCACCUCUGUGCCGGACGACGACGACGAAGACGACGAUCGCGCUUCACCACCGCACCGGAGCUACCUCAUCUACGCCCUCAUCCACCGCACCGGGUGGUCCACCGACAAUGUCGGCCGCCGCAACCGACGUGCCUCACAGACAUCGAGUUCCAUCGCAUCAGGUGCGCUUCACCGACGCCGUCUCCCACCUCACCGGGGCUACUUCACCAAGCACAUCAUCGCACCUCCGCACCCCCGAGGCCGUUGGGGCUUCACCAACGGUCUCGUCCACCGCAUCGUAGUGCUCCGCUGCCACUCAAGAUCUGCAUCUAUGCACGGCCAGCCAACACCAGCGCAUCACCCUCAACGGCUCUGAAGUGACCCGCACUCUAGCUAGGAGAGCAUUCCCAAACGCCGGCCCGAACUAGGUAUCCACACAUCACUCCCUUGUGCACUAUUCCGACGAUGUUUGGAUAUCCUUUCACUACUCUCUUAGCUUACACGCCUAUGCAACUCUGACUUUAACUCUCAUUUCUUCUGGAGAUAUCAUCUGAAACAAGCAAAUCAAUUUUUUACCGAAGCAUGAUGGUGCUAUGGGAUCUGGUACACAUCCUGCACACCCGUAUAACCUUGUAAGUAUUUGUCCUCCGGUACAACAUCAAGGUCGAUUCCUCUUAUUCGAUCAACCAUUCGCCGUGUCAAAAAUGCAGAGGGGGAUGCAAGGAGCACAAGGCCUGCACAUCCAAGCAAGUGGUAACAUGGACUUGUACAUGGAACAUCCCAAGCGCAAGCAGAGCUGCAGUGAGCCUGUACAACGAGCUAGCGUAAGUCCCUGCAUUUCAUUUAAUUCAUACUGGCAUUCGUGUAUAAUUUGUGUGCAGUGGCGGAUCCACGAAUUCAAGUUACCAGGGUAGAACAUUUAACUUAAAAAAUACGAAGGCACUUGCACUCCGGAAAUCAACAUAACUUGAGAAAUGUGAAGCUACAUGCACUUUGAAAACCAGCUAAUGAUCCAAAGUAGUUCAGAUUAUAAACACUAAAUGAUGCAAGCACCAAAAAACACAAAAUGCAACAUGGUGUACAGGGACUACAAACAUGGUCUGUACCUGCUUGAAUUAUUCGUCUCUGGAUGAAAAUAUCAAAGUGUAAUUGCACCUAUAACCAGUGCGCAAACUGCAUGUCAAUACAUCUAACCUGCACAAGUAUGCCAAUAGUUUCAAACAACAGAUUAGAAAAGUAUUUAUGCUAUGUUGUCAUGAUACGGGGACUUUCUGGUCGAUGGCCUCGACGUUUCCUCAAGCUAUGAAAAUGCACUAUAAUUUGCUUGUCUUCAAUGCCUGCAAAUCUCUAUCUCUCUCAACAUAGCAGAUCAUCAUUAGACACUAAAUCAUUCAAUGAGCUUGCAAAAUGCUUGCACUAGAUCCCUCGUUAGACACUAUAUUUUCAUCACCAGGAGCAUGUAAAAUGUUUGCAUCAAAUCCUUCAUUAGAAGUCCGUUCAUUAGACACUUCAGGCUCAAGAACAACAUGAGCUUGUAUGUUUGCAUCGGAAACUUGAUUAGAUACAUCAGAUUCAGUUAGUUCAGUAUUGAUUAGGGGAGUUAUAAAAUAAGUAGAAAUUGGUUUCAUUUCUCAUAGAUUCCCUACAUACAAGCAGUUUUACAACACCGUCAGGUUUAACUAUUGGCCAGAAAUUGAAUAGUUGAAUUAGAUAUAAUCAGGGAUGUGAUGUACCUGCUCGUUGCGCAUGCUACUCUUGCAAGCUACGACUGUCUGUUUGCGCAAGCUCGAUGCCAUGCCCGUGCUGCCGUCGCUGCCUCCCACGCAGGCUACACCCAGGGUUGGAUCUUCAUCUUCUUGUCCUUCCGUUCGCUUGAAGCCCAACGACCGCCCUCUAACGAGGGCGCGAGGAAGUGCUGUGUCGGUCUAUCCAACCACGGCUAGGUUAGGAGCGAACCAGACUGGAGGCUGGAGCGAAUCAAUUGGGAUUUUUCCUGCUGUCGAUCGAUAUGGGAGGCGCUCGUUUGGGCCGCGAGCCUGCUAUAUGGCUUGCCUUGCACUUAUGUUAUUGGCCCAUCCAAAUUGAAACAUUUUUCUUCAUUUUUUACAUUGGCUGCUCGUGCGUUGGUACAAACCAAACUAGCCUGGGCCAACCUGGAUGACUCAAACUAGGUGCACACUUUCCAGCCACCUGAGGCGGCCGCCUAUACCAGCCCCUAUGGUGGCGUCGCCCCUUUUUGCGUGUAUGAUUGGGUAGUGAAAAAUAUUCCAUUGGCGCUUUUGAUUUACCCACAUAAUGGUUGAAUUGCUUGUUUCUAUGAACUGAGUUCACCAAUAAUGUGAAGGAUGUCAGUCUUUUCAUCCUAUUGUAGAUUGCUUAGAUCUCGAUAUGCCAAAUGUAAUCACAUGAAAUAUACAGUAAAAGCCAUUGUGAUGUGUGUGGCUACAACUAGUCUGACUACACGUCCUCAUAUAACAUAUCAAGGACGCAUAAUCUUACCAGAUUAACAAAUCGAAUUACCAAUGCAGUGUGGGAAGAAAGAAGAAUUGGGACUGCGUAUCCUAGCAAUUGAUGCCAUGGACUCCUUCGUACAACCUUGUAAGCGAAAAAGAAGUUGCAGUGUGCCUGUACAAAGAACUAGCAUAAGUUCAGUUACCUGCUUCUCGGAAUUUUAGUUAGCCACUUAUUGCAAAAUUGUUCAAUUACGUUGCUUGGCUUAAUUUAGUUUGCUACUGAUUACAUAAUGCAACAUCCUGUUAAUCAUAUUGUAGACUGCGCCUAUAUAUGUGUUUGAUACUUACUGUUAAGAAUUACCUGUUUGCCUUAACUUAAAUAUCUACUUGUUUGUUUAACUGCUUUGUUGCUGCAACAGCGGGUUACAAUGAUGUUAAUAACUACUUUUCAGCAUCCAAUUGAAACUCUUUAAUUCGUGGUUUGUUUAACUGGUUUGCUGUUAUAACUCCCAGUUGAGAUGUUUUGCUAACUUCAACUUUUCUGAAUCCAAUCGGAACUUUAAUGGCAAAACAGGUUAGCCCAAGAUCAAAGAGCGAGGUCACCAUGGACAUUGCAUCAUCCCACAGCAGUGGCACUAGCCCAAUCGUGCAUUAUGAAUUGCCAACUGCUGAUGCUCUAGAGGCUAAACUAGUGGUAGAAAGGGAUUCUGCUUCUGCACUUAGAGAUGAAGUUGACAUGUUGAGGAAGCAACCAGCACAAUCACAAGCCGUACUAAAGACAACCAUUAAAUAUUUGGUGGAUUUCAAAACGAAGCAAGCUGAGACUGACCAGAUUGUUAAGGUCCUGAAGGAAAAAAGGAAAUUAAAUUCCUACUUGGUAAAUCAUAGGUGAAAUGUUUUUUCCAUCGUUGAAUAACCUUUGUGUUGUCUAUUCAUGUAAUCAAUCAAACCAUUUGUUUUAGAGAUCUUGUAAUAAUUGUCUUUUUUUGUUUUUUGGUUUGUAAUUUUAUUUGAGCACAAGUCUGUAUUAAUCGAUAAGACUCGGAGACAUUUCAUUUGGAUUGCUGUGCCAGACCUACAAAUAUGCCAAUCGGGCUGAAUGUGCAUUCAACAAUAGUAGUAGUAUAGAUGGACCAUAAGUGGCACGCAUCAGAAAGGGCCAAGAUGCUGGCUAAAAAAGGAUGUUGUUGUAGCCAAAAAAAAGUACAUCGGCCUGGCUUAUGUAUGUUAGUUGAUAUUAUUGAUCCAUAUACUCUAUAAGUGUUUAUAUGUCUGUUAGUUCUGUACAUUCUUGGUUGAUUGACUCGGUAUUUGAAUCUUGAUACAUCGCUUGUGUACAUAUCUAAAUGGGAGUACACAUUAUGCUGCGUGUGACAUUUGAGUUGGACAUGAAGUGUUCCAAAUAUUCGAAUUCACCUUAAACUCGAUUCUAGCUUCUGAAUUUGAGUAUCCGCAUUUGUAAACCAUAUUCAUAUAUGACAGUGGAAUGCAUCUUUGUCGUCCUUUGAAGAUAUAUAAAAACACGUAGAAUGAUUUAUAAAGAUUGAUAUAAGAAUACAAAAUGGAUUCAAAUUUAGUUGCCAGGGUAAACGUGGAUGCUUAUUGUCCCAAAAUUCGAAAGAAGUGGAAAAAUGUCCACUCCCAUAUCGGCUGCCCGAAGCCAAGUGUUUGGGAGAUGGAAAUUACUGUCUACCCAUUACAUGGACAAUCCAUCCGCCCGAUUUCCACUGCUCUAAAUAGGGGUAGCUUAGUAAUUUCAGUUAGAUGUGACACGACCGCCUCUGAGCCCAUUCCGACACGGUGGGCGUCAAACAUGGGCAGAAAAACACAUUUGAUUCAAGCUCAUCCGAAAGACCUCUGUUUCUCCCUCCAUUCCCCAUUCAUACACGGUGGGCGGCAAAACAAACUCGACUCGGCCGAAAUCGAUGUUGGCAAAUAUUUUCAAUAGGGGCAGGUUUGUAACUUCACUAAGACGUGACACAACCGCCCUACCUGUCAGCCUCGUUCAUACACCGUGGGCGCCAACCAUGGGCGCCAACCACCCUCUCCUCGCCCGAAAUUGCUCUAGGCAAAUAUUGGCGAGAUGCGAGAUUACCGUCCUAUCCCCAACCGACGAGACGUCCAAAUUUUAAAUGGGGGCUAAGUUCGUAACUUUCCCAUAUUUCAGACAUGCGCGUCCCAAAAACAUGGUUCCCCGUACCUCUCCCUCCAUUUUCCGAUUCAUACACCGUUCGCGCUAGAACACCCCAUCCCCACAGGAGCCUCCGUCCGCCACCCCAUCCAGCGCCGCCGUCCUCCAACACAUCCAUCGCCACCGUCUUUCACCAUGCCAGAGCGCCUACCAAGACCGCGUCGUCCACUGCUAGAGAUGGACAUUUCUCAUCCAUGGUGAUGAACCAAUAGCCUUGCAUCGUGUCCUCUCGCUUCAUCGGCGCCGUCGUCCUCCUUGCCGGGGCCGCUGACACGACCUUCUCUUCCACCGCAACGGGACUUAUCCCCCGAUGCAACCAUCUACGGUCGCAGAUCUGCUUCAACGCCACCGACAGCCAUCGCACCCCGGAUGCCUACACGGCACCGCAAGAGAGGUGGUAUGUCAUAUCUCCUCAAGUUUUUGAUCUCAACCAGAAAAUAGAUCUUAACUUGGUUGCUCUACUUUCUUUUCAGCUCUUAGAAUUUAGUUCUUAGUUCGAAGCAAAAAAUGGAUGCUAAAUAUCAUUUCUUCAGUUUGCAGCUUCAAAUCUGCGAUGCAUAGCCAUAAUAUGGUUUAAUUGAUCAUGCUUAGGGUUUAAUUGAUCAUGUUGGUUCUGUGGUGGUUUCUUUAAUAGAAAUCUGAGGGAAACCCUCUUUUGCUAAAAAAAUAUGCUUAGAGUUUCCCCCUUUUAUGAUCACUAUACGAUCAGAAUACGUGCUUCGUGUCAUAAUAACACUACUCCACCCAUCAAGCUAAACAGGCUUAGUUGUUCAAAUACGAAUCUGAUAUUAUUAAAACAGAUUUCUUUAAUUGGUCAGCUAAAUGUUCCUAAAUUAGUUUCAAAAAUGCAUGUUUGCCGCUUGGGUGUGUAUCUCUACAGGGUGCCCACGGUAGGCCGGCCCACCCUGGGAUUUUGGGUCAUCCCAGGCCCCGAUUCCCCUCUGUUCUGCUGCGCGCUUCCGAUCUCUACUCGCCCCCAGCCGCCUGCCUCGCUGGUGACUUGCCAUCCCCGGACGGCAUGACUCUACGAGGAGACGCCGGACUAACAGGAGGCCAGGAGCCGCUCGCCCAACAGCGUCACCGCCGCCCGAGAGCGCAGCCAUGCCUACCUUCCCAGUCCGUUCAGGGCUCAGGCAUGCAGCACCCAGCAAGCCAACCCGGUUUAUCCUGAGAUAUUUCCUCAACACUCAGCAACCACUCCUCAUCACCCAUUUUCUAAUUGAUUCAUUACUCAUUAGGCAGGACUGUCAUUAGGGUUUGUUGUGUGCUUAGUGCUACCUACACUUACUGGUUCAGAUGUAUUUCUGUAAUCUUUAGUACCUCUAAAGUUCACAGGGUUUUCAAAAUUCCGGCCCUCGGAAUAGAUACUAGUCAUUUCGGAUUGUUGGUCGUAGUGACAUUGACCUAGAUUACUACUGCAAGGCAGGUUUGUUGACAAUUUUACUUGUCUUUCUUACUCAUUUGAUAUAAUAUCCAAUUAUUCACGUCGAUUAGUUGCAAAAAAUAAGUGCUAGACAAACUUCUUCAUUUAGAUUUUGGACGGUCUCUUACUGCAGUUACAAUUCUGCAUACUUGUCCUAGUAAGCUCACAAGUAAAUGAUUGAUUCACUACAUCUAUGCUUGCCUUUUCAUAUUUGUUAUCAAUAUUCUUUUAGGGUGGACCACCCUGUUUGUAAAUACUGGAACCAUAGACAUGAGUGAAUAGUAUUUCUCUAUGUGAUCUCUUCCAUCAUGUGUGGGCAAUGAACACGGCAUUGUAUAGAAAGAAAGUGGCAUUUCCCGCUUUUACAUAGGUUUCGAUCUUUUACAUGGAAUACAAUCUGCCUACUUGCUUUGUGUCGCACUACCAACACUCCACCCUUGAAGCUAAACAUUAUGCCACUCAUACUUGCUUAGUUUAUUUGUUCAAAUACGAAUUUCAUAUAAUUCUAAUGUUCCUACUUUAGUUUUGAAAUGUGUGCCUGCCAGUUAUAGAGACAUAAGGGGUUUGUAUUUCUGUGUGUGGUCUGGUCAGCAUGGUUGGGGGGGUGAACUUUGCAUCUGCAGGGGUUUAUAGGGAGACACUCUUCGAGUUGAAUCCGCUAUGCAUUCCAUAGAUAAUCUGAGUACUUUUUAUGUUUUCAGGAAUAUCAGAUUAUGAACAACAUCAUAAUGAUUAUGAGCUUGCGCGCAUGAAAAGAAUAGAGCAGAACAAUGCCAUGGCUGUCAAACUUGGCAUUAAGGGACUGAAAUCAAGUCUGGAUGCAAUGCAAUGCAAACGCUCUCCACCUAUAGAUUCAUGCGCAGAAUAUGAUCCUAACAGUGAUUCUGAGCUAGAGGGAGACCUAAGUCAAUGUAGCUCCCUAGUGGAGGAGUCAGAGGAAGAUGCCCUAUCUUAUUCACCCAUCAAGGUACUUGCUCUAACUUUCCAAGGUAACAUUGCUCGCACAUAUCUUGCAACUGAUGCUUUGCAUUGCUUCUACUUUGUUGAACUGCCAUUAGCUUAGUUUACACAUCGUGUAUGUGAAUAUGCCCUGCCUAUCCAUUUUCAGUACAUAUUCCAUCUAUCAUCAUAGCAUAUUUAUCCAUUCAAAUGUUGUUCUUGUGUAUCAGACGUUCAAAAGGAAGAGGGCGAUUGCUGAUCGUGGAGGAGCACAAGCAAAGUAUUUGGAAAAGGUAGUGGCACCUGAUAAAUCAAAUAGCCCAUUAGGUGUAGUUGCAAUAUCACCAGACCCACAAAACACCCCAACUCUAGCAGACUCUAGCCCUACUACACUGGUCAUUUCUGAUGCCCCAACUUAGCAGACCCCAACUGCAGCAAACAGUAUGAUUAUGCCAGUUGACAUAGCACCAGCUCUACGACACGAAACCCCCAUUCCAGCAAAGAGUACACCAAAUCCAGUUGCCAAAUCCCCUUUUGAACCAGAGAGAGCCCCAAUUGCAGCAAAUAGGACCCUUGUUCCAUUUCUUCCCAGUUUAGAAGAUGAAGCUUAGGUUGUUGUCAGAAACUUUGUGCGCAUCUUUCCUUCAUGGAAAGAUUAUACCGCAGACACCGAACAAUUUCCAGUCUUCCUCCGCAACUUACGCGUAAGUAAUGUACUAAUGUUAUUCAUGGUCAUUACUGCAUAUGUUUCUGCUGACAGAAGACACAAGACUUCAUUCUUUUAAAUAGGCAAGGAGCAAACUAGAUUGUGAAGACGAGCAAGGGUUGGUUGCGCUUUUCAAGCACUCGUUGAUGAAGUAUCGUUCCUACUUGAGGCAAUCGCACUUUGAUGGCAAGCCUCUGAAUGAAAUUUCUGUAAAGUCUCCGGUGCUACAUUUAUCCGACGGUGACUGGAAUAAUCUUGUUACACAUUGCUCUCGGCUGCAGCAUAAGGUACUGUCUAUGCUAUCACAUCACAAUUUGAACUACAUUUCUGCAUUUUCCUUAAUGUCUCACUUGUACGAAAACUAUUAGCAGAAGAACAUUCGUUCUCAAGGGACCACAGAAUCUCGCAACUAUACUGCACACUGCAUUGCUCUUGUGAGUACCUCUUACCCUAUAUGACCAUACUUACUUUCAGAGCUGUUUGAUUAUGUAGCAUCACUGCACAUGUUAGCCUUGUAAUCGUCCAUUUGGUGGACAUUAUAAGAUCCGUAUGGACUCUUACAUAAAUUUAGAAUCAACCCAAUGCUUUUGAAGAGGUUUAGCUCUGCAGUCCUCUUGUAAGGACUAAACAUGGUCUAUCACUGUACUUACAUUAACAGUUACUCCCUCCGUCCCAUAAUAUAAGAACGUUUUGUACAGUACACCAGUGUUCAAAACACUUUUGUAUUAUGGGAAGAGGGAUUGGUUCAUUGUGUAGCAUUCUGCAUCUUAUCUCCCCCGCCCUCCAUUUACUAAAAAAGAUCAGAUCUAUAUUUAAUCUUACCAACAAGUAGAAUACAGACAAUGCCAGUGCAGAAGUGUAGCCCAUUGCUCUUGUCAGUACAUUUUGUCCUGUAACCUUUGUACUUCCAGGGCUUGGUAGUUGAUUAUGUAGCAUCAAUCUGUACCUUAUCUUCAUUAUCCUCUAUCCCUUCCAGUAUUAUCAUAUCUAUAAUUACUCUCAACAAAAUGUAGAGUACAAGCAAUGCUUAUGAAGAAGAUUCUCAAUUGAAAUUCUUGAGUUAUCCUUCCCUUGACAUGGAGAAGGGCAUUAUAAAGCCGGUGUCAACUGUUAAUGUAAGUCAGUCCUUCUAAAGCCUUUAUCCUCAACUGCUGUUUAAUUUGCUCAUACUCCCUACCGUUUAUUGCUGUUUAGUUUGCUGUUUCUACCAAAAUGCAUGUUCGCAAGAACCGUAAGUUCUAAGUUUUACUUGUAAAACCAAAUUCAUUAUUCAUACCAUGCACAUUACUUAAUACUCCCUAUAUGUAUGCUUUUUUUUGUGGAUCUAUAAUCCAGUUUGUGGUGAAGCAGCCCACGUUUGCACCUUGUCAUCUCCUGUUUUAUCUUACUGAUGUGGCUGAUGAUAUGAACAACAUGCCAUGCACAUUAUCCAAAAUAGAUACAAUGAUUUUCUUUGCCCUUCAUCUAAGCUUGUUAUGUUGACAUGGUAAUCCAGUAGUGUGGUGAAGCUCCCCGCAUUAUGAACAAUGCCAAAUUAUGCUAUUGAUAUUUUGAACUUACUCUUUAUUUUCUAAUUUGAAAUUGGAUGGAAUUGACAGCAAAGUUAUCAUCUUUGUUUAUACACGUGCAAAACCUGUCAUCUCUCUGCUUUGUUUCAGGGUGAUAUGCCUGAUGGCAUGCACAAGUCUGCUGAAGGCUGUGAGACAAACCCAACAUAUAUUGCAGCAAAGAAGGCAAAACAUCUCGAAGAUAGUGAGACAACCCCAAAGCCUUGUCUUGAUGUAGUGUUCAAGUUACUUGAGACUAGCAGUCAGACAAGCUCACAGAAUUCGUUGUCUGAAUCAGUUCGACUUCUUCAGUCCCAAGUUCUAGCAGAAAGGCAUUCUGCAAUUCAACUUCGACUUGAAGUCCUAUCUCUAAGAAAGAUUGCGGAUAACACCAAUGAGAACCUCAUCACUAAACAGCUACACCUGGAAGCUAUGACCGACAUGCUAGGCUGGUCUCACAAACUUGCUCAGCAGCUUGCACAGCAGUUCCCCGGCAAGGCUAACCUUUCUUGAACUAUCUUGGAAGUGGUCUCGGUUCAGUAUUAUUUUAUUACGCUGCAAUGGUGCCAAGUUUUUGUAAUCUGCUUCUUCGUUGCACUUUAUGAUCACAAGUGGCGAACUUCGAUGCCCAGUGGAUGCAAUAUACCUUAAAUCCUUUAUUGUAUAGUGUAGGUUUAUUCUUAGUUACUAUGUCGUAAUUUCUUUAUUGUAUAGAAUAGGUUUGUUCUUAAUUCCUACUAGUUACUGCCAUCAUUCGCUAUCUGAAAAAAAAUCAGAUGUAGUCGACCGGGCCGAAACAUUCGACUCUAACGGGCCUGGUUUUUAGCGGACCACAAUUGGGCCGGCCUGCGUCUUUCUUGGGCCCGAAUGAUUGGGGCCUUCACACAUUGCGCCAGGCCCAAACUUACACCGGCCUAUAUUUUAGUUGGGCCUUUUGUCGACCUAGCGCUUAGUUUGGCCUAGGUAGCGUUUGGCCAUUAACAGGCUGAAUAUUAUAUUGGCCUGUUACGGCCGAGAUGAAACCACGGGCCUUUAGCAGGCCAAAAUGCAUGUUGGGCCUCAAUUUUCACUAGUCGUCGACGGGCCUUCAGCAGGCUGAAAUGUAGACCGGGAGUUUUUGGGCCCAGUUAGCUCACGGGCCGUUACCAGGCCAAAACAUAUCUCGGGCCUUAGUUGGCCCACUGAUAUCAUGGGCCUUUAAGAGGCCAAAAGCUUAGUACAGGCAUCAACGGGCCGAACUACGCGAGAGGCCUUUAACAGGCCCAAAGUAACGUUGGGCUUAACUGUUGCCUCCUUUAGCACGGGCCGUUAGUGGGCCCGAUGUCCCGUCGGAUCAUAUAUGGCCCAUGGGCAGCACAGGCCAUUCCUAGGCCGAAAUUCUCACUGGGCUGAAGUGGGCCCAUGUCUACAUCAGGCCUCUAACAGGCCGAAAGUCACACCGGGCUGAAAUGGGCCCAUGUCUACAUCAGGCCUCUAACAUGCUGAAAGUCAAUGGGCCGUAGUUGGGCCCAAAUACUUGGCGAACAAUUAACGGGCCAGAUCUGGCUUCGGGCCGCAAAUGGGCCCAAUUAUUGGGCGAACAAUUAACGGGCCAGAUCUGGCUUCGGGGCGUAAAUGGGCCCAAAUUUUGGCCAAACAAUUAACGGGCCAGAUCUGGCUUCGGGCCAUAAAUGGGCCUUUAUUAAGCAGGCCGUUAUUGGGCUGGCCCACUAGUACCUGAUUAAGUACUAUGAGCCUUUGACUGGGCCGGCCUUUUUAACCUAUAUGGGCCUCUGUUGGGCCCCGCCACGUCUCGACGUAUCAUAGGCAUGUCUCCUCCAAUGGACGGGCGACAUCUGGACCACUAACGAGCUGACAGGUGUUCCCUUCGGCCAAUCAGAAUUUUACACAUGGAAAAUCCCCAUUGGUCGGGGCUGUUAACGGGUUAUCGGAUCCAAAACCCGACCCGAUAGCUUAAUGGUGUUCCAUUACGGUGGAUGCCACAUGUCGAUCACCCUUGACGAAAGCACUUCUGUGACGUGCGAUUUAUCGUCAUGGAAGUGGACACUUCCGUGAUGAUAAUUUUGGUAAUGUCAUGGAACACUUCUACGACAGCACAUGUAUGACUAUCUUGAUUCUGUCAUAAAAUUGUCAUGGAUGUACAUGCAUGACAGAAAACGUGCCCUACUGUGACAAAUACGUAUCAUCACGGAAGUGUAUUUUUUUGUAGUGAGAGUAGAGGGGGAUAAACAUCAUAAGAUCAACCUAUAAUAGCAAAGCUCGCGAUACAUCAAGAUCGUGCCAUAGAGAGAAGAUGAGAGAGAUAGAGAGAUAAAAAACAUAGCUACUGGUACAUACCCUCAGCCUCGAGGGUGAGCUACUCCCUCCUCAUCAUGGAGAUCACUGGGAUGAUGAAUAAGGCCACCGGUGAGGGAUCCCCCAUCCGGCAGGGUGCUGGAACAGGGCCCCGAUUGACUUUUGGUGGCUACAGAGGCUUGCAGCGGCGAAACUCCCGAUCUAUCUUCGUUAUCGAUGUUUUUAGGGUAUGUGGGAUUAUAUAGGUGAAAGAAGUCGGUCGGGGGGGGGGUGCUCGAGGGGCCCAGGAGACAGGGGCGCACCCUAUGCGGGGGCGCCCUCCUGUCUCCUGGCCUCCUUGAAGCUUCCCUGGAUUGAACUCCAAGUCUCCCGGAUCAUGUUCGUUCUAAAAAUCACGCUCCCAAAGGUUUCAUUCCGUUUGGACUCCGUUUGAUAUUCCUUUUCUUCGAAACACUAAAAUAGGCAAGAAAACAACAAUAUGGGCUGGGCCUCCAGUUAGUAGGUUAGUCCCAAAUGUAAUAUAAAAGUGUAUAAUAAAUCCCAUAAUCAUUCAAAACAGAUAAUAAAAUAGCAUGAAUGCUUCAUAAAUUAUAGAUACCUUGGAGACGUAUCAGCAUCCCCAAGCUUAAUUCCUGCUCGUCCUCGAGUAGGUAAAUGAUAAAAGAAAGAAUUUAUUAAGUGUGGAUGCUAGCAGGUGCACAAGUUUGAUCAAUAAUAAUUUCAAUCACCUUUUCUAGCAUGUUUAUAUUUCAUAACAGCAUUGUUGAGGAAAUCGUUAACUGGUAGCUGCUCGAUUGGCUGGCGAGUAGGGGAUUAAUAGGCUAAUCGGCAAGUUAAUCGGCCAUUUAAUCAAUUAAUUGGACGAUUUAUCGGUUUAUCGGCUACUCGGUGACCCUACGAGUAGGGAUUAAUUGGCAAGUUAACUGGUUAACCGAAUGAAUUCUCGAACAGGGCAUAACAGUAGUUCAUCUCAUAAAACUUUUCAUGAUAAAGUAACAAGCUAUUCACAUGUGAAAGCAUAGACUAUAAACUUUCUUGAAAUCUAGAAAACUUCAUUCUCAGUCAUCAAACAAUUGCAAUUCAUCUUAUUUUCAGGAAGGGUCUAUGUCAGAGCUUUGAUUUAGCAAACUCCACAUACUCAACUAUCAUAUAGUCUUCUACAAUUGCUAACACUCACACAAUACUUGUGGUUAUGGAGUUUUAAUCGGAGACUGAGAAAGAUAGGGGCUUAUAAUUUCGCCUCCCCACAUAUUCACCUUUGGGUGAUGUCAACAAUAAUAGUUCAUGCUAACUUACAUUCAAUUGGAUAUAUAUAUAUAUAUAUAUAUCAGGUUCACCCCAAAACAAAGUGCUUGCCAAAGGAUAAAAUGAAAAUGGGAAAGGUGAAGAUCACCUUGACUCUUGCGUAAAGUAAAAUACAAAAAGUAAAAGAUAGGCCCUUCGCAGAGGGAAGCAGAGGUUGUCAUGCGCUUUUAGGGUUGGAUACACAAAAUCUUAAUGCGAAAGAAUGUCACUUUAUAUUGCCCCUUGUAUAUGGACCUUUAUUAUGCAGUCCCUCGCUUUUAUUGCUUCCAUAACAAGAUCGUACAAAGCUUAUUUUCUCCGCACUAAUAAGUCAUGCAUAUUUAGAGAGCAAUUUUUAUUGCUUGCACCGAUGACAACUUACUUGAAGGAUCUUACUCAAUCCAUAGGUAGGUAUGGUGGACUCUCGUGGCAAAAACUGGGUUUAAGGAUAUUUGUAAGCACAAGUAGUAUCUCUACUUGGUGCAAGGAAUUUUGGCUAGCAUGAUGGGGAAAGGCAAGAUCAACAUGUUUAUAUGAUCCAUGACAAUAUACUUUAACUGAGAUGUGAGAAAACAUAACCCAUUACGUUGUCUUCCUUGUCCAACACCAACUCUUUAGCAUGUCAUACUUAAUGAGUGCUCACAAUUAUAAAAGAUGUCCAUGAUAGUAUAUUUAUAUGUGAAAUCUCUCUUCCUUCAAUAUUCUUAUAUGAAUUGUUCAAAUGACCAAUACAAUGCUUGCUAACCUCCAAUAAAUUUACAACCUCUACUUCUUAGAUGUGAAGUCAUUACUCCCCAUGGGUUAAGCAAAUUCGAGAUAUAUAAUUUCAGAUUUAUGACAUUCAACUCAUUCAACCAUUUACUCAUAGGAUAUAAGUGAAGCACACGAGUAAAUGACAAACUACUCCAAAAAAGAUAUAAGUGAAGAUCAAUGAGUAGUUAAAUAAUUAUGCAACUAUGUGAAGACUCUCUCUCAUUUAAGAAUUUCAAAUCUUGGUAUUUUAUUCAAGCAACAAGCAAAACAAAGCAAAAUUACAUUGCAAGGAUAGCACAACUCAUGUGAAGAAGCAAAAACUUAGGUUCAACCGAUACUAACUGUUAAUUGUUGAAGAAGAAGGGUGGGAUGCCUACCGGGGCAUCCCCAAGCUUAGAUGCUUGAUACUUCUUGGAAUAUUAUCUUGGGGUGCCUUGGGAAUCCCCAAGCUUGAGCUUUUGUGUCUCCUUAAUUCCUUUUAUAUCACGGUUUCCCUAAAUCUCAAAAACUUCAUCCACACAAAACUCAACAAGAACUCGUGAGAUAAGUUAGUAUAAAACAAUGCAAAACCUUAUAAUUUUCUACUGUAACAAAUUACUAACAUUAUUAUUCAACAUUGAAUAUUAAAUGUCUCUGCAUAUUUAAUACUCCUAUCCUCAAAUAGAAUCAUUAAACAAGCAAGCAUAUGCAAACAAUGCAAACAUAACAGCAAUCUGCCAAAAUAGUAUAGUCUGUAAAUAAUCCAAGAUUCAUCAUACUUCCCUAACUCCAACAAUUAUAAGAAAAAUACUAAGAUGUAGAAGAUUUAUCAGAGCUCAUUAUGCAAAAAGAUUCAACAUUAUAUCAUUCUCUGACUUUUCUAGGGAAUUUUUGAAACAGCGGUAAACUUUCUGUUUUCAAACAGCAACAUGUAUACUUAGCAAAAUAAGCAUGGAAAAGGCUAUCCUUGACAUUUUUAUCGAAAAUAGAGAUUCCAAACAAUACUAACAAAAUAAAAUCACUCUCCAAGCAAAACACAUAUCAUGUGGUAAAUAAAAAUAUAGCUCCAAGUAAAGUUACCGAUGAACGAAGACGAAAGAGGGGAUGCCAUCCGGGGCAUCCCAAAGCUUAGGCUCUUGGUUGUCCUUGAAUAUUACCUUGGGGUGCCUUCGGCAUCCCUAAGCUUAGGCUCUUACCACUCCUUAUUCCAUAGUCUAUCGAAUCAUUACCCAAAACUUGAGAACUUCACAACACGAAACUCAAAACAAAACUCGUAAGCUCCGUUAGUAUAAGAAAAUAAAUCACCACUUACGUACUGUAAUGAACUCAUUCUUUAUUUAUAUUUGUGUUAAACCUAAUGUAUUCCAACUUCUGUAUGGUUCAUACCCUCCGAUACUACUCAUAGAUUCAUCAAAAUAAGAAAACAACACAAUGAAAAUGGAAUCUGUCAAAAACAGAAUAGUCUGUAGUAGUCUGUGUCAAACGUAUACUUCUGGAACUCCAAAAAUUCUGAAAUAAAUUGUUGGACCUGAGGAAUUUAUCUAUUAAUCAUCUGCAAAAAGAUUCAACCUAAAUGCGCUCUCCAGUAUAAAAAUGGCAGCUAAUAUCAUGAGCGCUAAAGUUUCUGUUUUCUACAGCAAGAUCAUAUAGACUUCACCCAAGUCCUCCCAAAGGUCCUACUUGGCACUUUAUUGAAACAAAACAUAUAAAACGUGAUUACUACAGUAGCAUAAUCAUGUGAACACACAAAAAUAGUAAGGGUAAAUAUUGGGUUGUCUCCCAACAAGCACUUUUCUUUAAUGCCUUUCUAGCUAGGCAUGAUGAUGGCAAUGAUGCUCACAUAAAAGAUAAGAGUUGAAACAUAACGGGAGCAUCAUGAAGAAUAUGACUAGCACAUUUAAGCCUAACCCACUUCCUAUGCAUAGGGAUUUUGUGAGCAAACAACUUAUGGGAACAAUAAUCAAUUAGCAUAGGAAGGUAAAACAAGCAUAGCUUCAAAAUAUUAAGCACAUAAAGAGGAAACUUGAUAUUAUUGCAAUUCCUACAAGCAUAUGUUCCUCCCUCAUAAUAAUUUUCAGUAGCAUCAUGAAUGAAUUCAACAAUAUAACCAGCACCUAAAGCAUUCUUUUCAUGAUCUACAAGCAUAGAAAUUUUACUACUCUCCACACAACAAAAUUCUUCUUACGAAUAAUAGUGGGAGUAAACUUAACGAAAUAACUAUCAUGUGAGGCAUAAUCCAAUUGAAAACUAAAAUCAUGAUGACAAGUUUCAUGGUUAUCAUGAUUCUUAAUAGAAUACAAGUCAUCACAAUAAUCAUCAUAUAUAGCAACUUUAUUCUCAAAAUCAAUUGGAACCUCUUUCAAAAUAGUGGAAUCAUCACUCGAUAAAGUUGACACUCUUCCAAAUCCACUUUCAUAUUCAUCACAAUAAGAUUCAACAUCCUCCAAAAUAGUGGGAUCAUUACUUUAUAAAGUUGACACUCUUCCAAACCCACUUUCAUCAAUAUAAUCAUCAUAAAUAGGAGGCAUGCUUUCAUAAUAAUAAAUAUUCUCAUCAAAACUUGGGGGACAAAAAAUAUCAUCUUCAUCAACCAUAGCAUCCCCAAGCUUGUAGCUUUGCAUAUCAAUAGCAUCAUAGGUAUUCAAAGAAUUCAUACUAAUAACAUUGCAAUCAAGCUCAUCAUUCAAAGAUUUAGUGCCAAAUAUUUUAUAGAUAUCUUCUUCUAGCAGUUGAGCACAAUUUUCCUUACCAUCAUUCUCACGAAAGAUAUUAAAAAGAUGAAGCGUAUGAGGCAAACUCAAUUCCAUUUUUUGUAGUUUUCUUUUAUAGACUAAACUAGUGAUAAAACAAGAAACAAAAAGAUUCGAUUGCAAGAUCUAAAGAUAUACCUUCAAGCACUCACCUCCCCAGCAACGGCGCCAGAAAAGAGCUUGAUGUCUACUACACAACCUUCUUCUUGUAGAUGUUGUUGGGCCUACAAGUGCACAUGUUUGUAGGAAAGUAGCAAAUUUCCCUCAAGUGGAUGACCUAAGGUUUAUCAAUCCGUGGGAGGCAUAGGAUGAAGAUGGUCUCUCUCAAAUAACCCUGCAACCAAAUAACAAAGAGUCUCUUGUGUCCCCAACACACCCAAACACUACAAGAAACCUGUUAAUCGAUGACAGUCCCAAGCUGUCAGGGGUCAAUGAAAAACCGUCGUGGAUGCGCAAACGUGACGGACAUGAAAUCUGUCAUGUAUGUCGCAUCAUAAUUUAGCACAAUACCUUCCUUGACGGUUUUUGGCCGUCAUAGAUCUGUCACUAGGCCCGCCGGGACCAAGAUUCCAUGACAGACUAAGCCGUCACAGAUUUACAUGACCUGGUAGCAGCAUGGACCUAAAAUGGCGUCUACGUGGAUCUGACGUGGUAGCCAACAUGACCCAUGUAGUAACCAGCCCAAUUAAGGUUUUAGCCCAAUAAUUUUGGUCCAGUCCAACCCAUUAGCCACUUACUUCAGUUCUACCCAUUAGAAUACCUAUUCUUUUAGUCCAACCAUUAGCCCAUUUUUUGUCCAGCGUGAUUUUUCAUGCGACCCAAUUUGCAACAAGACAAAUUUCAUUCACACAAUAGCAUCUGGUCGAAAGAAAAUAUAAACUUCCAACAAUCUAGACUGAUUUCUGAAAACAAAUAUUUGUAUCAAAACAUCACAUACAUAUCUAGAAAGAACUAUAAGCAUUAUUUUUAAAAAUUUCGAGUAAAUAUACUACUAGCUGGAUUUAAUCUCCAACACUACACCACUAAUGCUUCCAGGUAGUUAUUCGAGGCCAAGUAAUUCCUGCUAAAAAC